Molecule: long non-coding RNA, 71124 nt
Filed under: Triticum aestivum (bread wheat)
Lineage: Eukaryota; Viridiplantae; Streptophyta; Magnoliopsida; Poales; Poaceae
Description: long non-coding RNA (TAES_LNC024801)
Source: RNAcentral
UUUUUUUUCCUUUUUUGUUCGUAAUACCUCUGAAAACAACGAAAAGGCCAAAAAAUGUGGAAAAUUGCAAAAUUUGUUAGACUAUUAUGUGGGAUAAAUCUAGAGCUUUAUUAGCACCUACAUCAUUAAAAACUUCCAUCUCAAAUAAGUAAAAGAAUACAAGACAUGCUAUAGAAUUACAAAAGGAUAAAAAAAAUACAAAGAUUGAGAAUGGACGUCUGGCUCUCGGCCUCCAUGGAGGCCUUUUUUUGAAAAUAAAUCAAAAUUCAAACUAUUUGGUUUAAUUUUUUUUGAAAAAGUAUGCAAGUAAACAAGAAUGUUAUGUGUAUGUGGGUAAAAUUUCAGGAUGAAAAACGUUGAAAUGCGACCUGUACAAAAAUGACAAAUUCAUGGCCCGGGAGGAUGAAUAGUAUCAUGUGUUAAAAAGCCCUAGAUUUGUCAUUUUUGCACAGGCCUCAUUUCAACGUAUUUUGUCCUGAAAAUUUACACACAUAUGUGUUAUGCCUUCAUGUAUAUCUGUGUUUUUUUAGAAUUUUUUAAAAUGCAGAAAAUAUGAAAUUUGAUGAAAUUCAAAUUUUCCAAAACCGAGCUCCAUGGAGCUCGGCCUCCAAAGACAAUAUUCAACAAAGACUACACUAUAUAACACUACUAAUACUCAGAUCCAAGCACUAAAAUACGCAUGCACGGCAAAAAAUUUGAACAUAUUAGAGUAUUAUAGAUAUUUAUAUAGGACAUAUAUUUAUAUAUUUCAAAAAAAUAAACGGGCCGUGCCGUGCCGGCCCGCGUGCCCAGCCUCCAGGCCCAGGCACGGCCCAUGGCGUGCCGCAUGCCGGGCCUGGCCCGUUUAGCCUGGGUCGUGCCGUGCCAGCGUGCUACCGGGCCGGCACAGUUAGCACGGCCCGUUUGGCCGUGGCAUUUGUCCCAGACUUCGUGCGUUGUGCGUUGGAGUUGGCCCUAGUCUCCGGUUUCCGUUUCCGGUUCCACCCCGAGUUCCGCCUCCGGUCUCUCCUCCGCCGGCGCAGGAUGGCGGCGGCCGCGGGCACAUCGAGGCAGGCGGGCGCGGCGCCCAGGGUGGGGCUGCUGUACGACCAGCGGAUGCUGAAGCACGCGCCUGCCGGGAAGAAAGAACGGGAGACCCCCGAGCGGCUACGCGCCAUCUGGCGCAAGCUCGCCGCCGAGGGCGUCACGUCCAGGUACGCGCCGCCAGCGACUCUCUCAAGCGAGAGCAGCGCCANNNNNNNNNNNNNNNNNNNNNNNNNNNNNNNNNNNNNNNNNNNNNNNNNNNNNNNNNNNNNNNNNNNNNNNNNNNNNNNNNNNNNNNNNNNNNNNNNNNNNNNNNNNNNNNNNNNNNNNNNNNNNNNNNNNNNNNNNNNNNNNNNNNNNNNNNNNNNNNNNNNNNNNNNNNNNNNNNNNNNNNNNNNNNNNNNNNNNNNNNNNNNNNNNNNNNNNNNNNNNNNNNNNNNNNNNNNNNNNNNNNNNNNNNNNNNNNNNNNNNNNNNNNNNNNNNNNNNNNNNNNNNNNNNNNNNNNNNNNNNNNNNNNNNNNNNNNNNNNNNNNNNNNNNNNNNNNNNNNNNNNNNNNNNNNAUGGGAAGUCCUCGCGCGCUCCCGCUGUGCUUGAUCUGUUUCCUGUUACGACUGUAAAUCUGCACGAUUAUGUUUUGGUUAUCUGAUGAAGCGCCCGAAAUGGUGAAGGGCCUGAGAAAGGGGGGAGAGUAUAUAGAUCCUUCAUACAAUAGGUUCAAACAUGUAUGCCAUGUAGCGCUGAAAGGAACAGUCCUGCUAUUUCUGCAAUUUGGGGCACUCCAGUCCUUCCUCGUGUGCAGUAACUUGGACUGUCCAUUGCUUGCAUUACUUUGAUUGAUUAGAUUGAUAAUUGUAUGACUUUUGCAAGGUUCUGUGGCUUUAGUGUGACAUAAGUUUCUUCAGAUAAUAGGUUCAAACAUGUAUGCACAGUAGCGCUGAAAAGGUAUAGAGUCCUGGUAUUUCUGCAGUUCUGGGUACUCAAGCCGUUGCCUGUGCACAGUAACCUGGAUGCUACUAGAGUUAAGUUUGAACAUUGGCAUUAUGGCUUCUGUGCUGCCCACUGUUUGCAUUAUAGGUUCAAACAUUUAUGCACUGCAUAUCUGAAAGGAACAGCGUCCUUCUGGUAUUUCUGCAAUUUGGGGCACUCCAGCCCUUCCUUGUGGUACAGUAUCUCGGAUCCCUGCAGGCGUCGAUUUAAAGAGGAACUGCAGUGGCUCAGGCUCACCUACAGGGCCAAAAGGAAGGAGUAUAGUGGCCUGAUUGAUUGGGUCAAAGCUUUCAGAUGAACUUAGUUCUGCCUUCAUUGUACCUUUUGUAUUUUCUGUUCCUUGUUUGUUUUCACUAGGCCUGUGUAGCUCUUUUAUUUUAUUUCUGAACUUUGUUUUGUACUCCCUCCAUCCCACAAUAUAAGAUCGUUUUUCAAGCUGGACAAGGGAGUAACAUUUAUUUGAAAAACAAUAAAAAUACACAGCAGAGUCCUGCUGUUUCCUUAAGAAAAGGUAACUUGUAUGCCACUAGAGUGAAGUUUGAACAUCGGCAUUGUAGCUUCUGUGCCGUCCAUUGCUUGCAUUACUUUGAUUGAUUAGAUUCAUAAUUGUAUGACUUUGCAAGGUUCUGUGGCUGUAGUGUAACAUAAGUUUCUUGCAGGUGUGUGGGCAUGAGGGCGAAGGAAGCCAAGGAAAAAUAUAUAGCCUCUGUCCAUGGCCCGAAUCACAUAGAUCUGAUAAGGAAUAUCAGCUCGAAGGAUAGUUCCGAGCGAAAAAAUACUGCUGAGAAACUCGAUUCCAUUUACUUCAACAAAGGCUCCUCAGAGUCUGCUUUCCUCGCAGCCGGUUCUGUCAUCGAGGUAAUUUCCGUUUACUUUUCCUACAUUGCAUAUGUAUUCACUAGUCUUAUACAGCAAUUCUGGUUCCGUUGAUCCUGAGUGCUGACAAAAUGACUCGUUUGGCAAGUAGGUUGCUGAGAAGGUUGCAGCUGGUGAGCUGAGUUCUGCGAUCGCUCUAGUCAGGCCUCCAGGCCACCAUGCCGAACAUAGCAAGCCCAUGGGAUUUUGCCUCUUCAACAAUGUGGCAAUUGCAGCUAACUACCUCUUAAAUGAAAGGGUGCGUAUUUGAAACUUCCCUGUUGAAUGUUCUGUUAAGAUCAAUACGUGCUGUUUUUGUUUAUCAUUUCCUCUGUAGGAACAAUCAUAUCAAUUUGCUAUGAUGUGACCUACUGAGAACAUGGAGUCAUUUUCUGAGUUCCCUUUUUCUGUUGCAGCCUGACCUAGGUAUCAGCAAGAUAUUAAUCGUCGAUUGGGAUGUUCAUCAUGGAAAUGGCACGCAGAACAUGUUUUAUAAUGACCCUCGUGUAUUGUUCUUUUCAGUGCACAGGUAUGACACAAUAACUUGGCGUUGCUUUGCUAUUUUUGUUUAGACUUCAGACUUUGCUUCCGCAAACAUGCAAACCACUGUAUGUAUACGCAUUAGAUAUAAAGAAAACAUGCAAACCACUGUAUGUAUACGCAUUAGAUAUAAAGAAGAAGUCUUAGUUGAGACUUUAGACUAGCUUCAUAACCUUCAUGAUAUGAUAUUCGUGAAGCCGUGGUAGUUUUGUUGCCUACAUUUUUAUGGCUUACUGCUUUUUGAAUGGAUGUAGGAUGCUGAGAGCGUUUUCUUACAGUGGAUCUCUGCAGUUCAUAGAAAUUUAGAAACUCCAUUUCUUAUUUACAUGGUAUUAACAAACUCAUUUUUGAUAUUUGUGAGCUCACCUUACUAUAAUGCUCUUGGAUAUUGUACCUGUAAUGAUCGGGAUUAAGUCUCAGUUUUGUUGAUCCAGUUGGGCUGUAUAGCACGACCUAAAUGCUUGAGCCCAGUUUGUGAUUAAUGUGCCAUGGAACCUAUUAACUAUUAAUCCGUUGUCAAUGGAAGAACCUAUUAACUAUUAAUCCUUUUUCUGUUUCAUCAUGGUUUUACCAUUUUACUUCCUAUGUUGACACUACUAGUAUUGAAAUAGCCUGAAUUAUCUGUUCUAAACUUCUAAUCAACAUAGUAUGGUUACUUUAUUUGUCAUUUGAAUUGUCACCUGCCCACCCUUGAUUUUGGUUAUAGUAUAUUAAUCAAUUCAUUGUGUUUACUUUCUAUUGCUAUCUGAGUUUAGUCUCCCAUGCAUCUGCAGGGCUAGAUACUACGGUUCAUGUUUACAUUAGAAAGAGAUGUUUGUAAUGCAACUUCAGUGCUUAUGUUUGAAAACUGAGUUGUACUUGUUAUACAACUCUUGCUCUAAUAUGUUUGAUUUAUCUGCACUGCUAUAGUCUGGAGCAUCCAAAAUACAUGAUGUUGAUAUUUAUUCUUUCUUUCUCCGAUAUAUGUGAAAAGUUCUAGCCUCCCAGAUCCAACGCCGAAACUUCUUCUAACAUUGUUCUAGCUAGUGUCAAAAAACGUCUUACAUUAUGGGACGGAGGGAGUAGUAGGUAGGUACCUGAGGAAAGCUGCUGUUCUAACCGCUUAUCAUUUAAGUUUACAUACAUGUUACCUUGGCUGAUGAAUCUACAGAUUGUGUAACUUGCCAUCUUUGGUAAAGGCCUCUCCUAGAACUACCCAACCAAUUCUGAUCGAAAUCUCAAUUUUUUGCAGUUGUUCCAUUGCAUUCUGUUGAUCCUUCAGUAAUGUGUAAACUAUUAUUCCAAUGUUUGCUCUGUAGAUAUGAUGAUGGAAGCUUCUACCCUUAUGAAGCUGAUGCAUCACACGUUUUCAUUGGGGAUGAAACUGGUCGAGGGUACAACAUUAAUGUGCCCUGGGAGCAUGCGGAAUGCGGUGAUGCAGAUUAUGUUGCUGCAUGGGACCAUGUACUCCUUCCUGUUGCAGAAGCAUUUGAUCCUGAUAUAAUAUUACUGUCUGCUGGGUUUGACGCAGGUAGACAGCUAGAAAAUUCUUAGAAACUAUCUUGUCCCUAAAAUUUAAACAUCUAACUAAUCUAGGCACUUCAAAUGAAGCCUGACUGUUGCUAUAUACCGGCAUUGUAGUUUAUUCUAUGUACUAGAUGUGCACUGUUCGAGUACUACUCCUUAUAUACCUGAUUUCCUUUUUGCGUGACAAAUGAGAUCUUCACUGAAGAUAUUUUGACAACCGCUGUGGCUUUGUUGUAUUAUAUUGCUAUUACAUGCCAAUGGAAUCAAAACUUCUGUGUCUCAUAUGAUCAUGCAUGUUCUUGUUACUCACUGGUUUUGAAUAUUUUCCCUGUUUCUUUUUUGCUAGCACUGGGUGAUGAUAUGGGUAAUUGCUGCAUCACUCCAAAUGGAUAUGCACUGCUACUGACAAAGGUAUGCAUUUGCACGUUUGCAGCAAAAUGACCUUUUAUUAAACUCACUGAACCAUGCGCUCUCCUGGCCUUAAAAACAUUUUUCAUUCUUGACCUUGGAGUUUGGAUGUGAUAGAGUAGCGUUUAUGUUAUUGCCACGGUCAUUCAUUUUUGUUGUCAUGCUUUGGUGUUACCUGUUAGAAAAUUUUCAUUUGAUCCCAUCAAUUUAUUAGUAUCUCCUAUAACUUUUUUGGACUUUCUACUCAGCUGAUCGAUGCUUAUGCCUGUCUACAUUUUACCUGCAGCUGUUAGGUUUUGCAAAAGGAAGGAUUGUGAUGGCCCUUGAAGGAGGUUAUAACCCUGAGUCCAUAGCAAACUCAGUUUGUGCUUGUGCAAAAGUAUUGUUGGGAGAUAAAUUCACACUUACCUCUCCAGAGAUGCAACCAUUCGAAUCUACAUGGAGAGUCAUACAAAUGGUAAUGGUCUGCAGUGUACUAUUUCUGUCUAAUUUUGGUCUCGCUAUGCGUAUCUGUAAUUUAGUUCUCAUUCCCCCUCACACUGACCAGGUACGCGAUGAAUUAAAGACAUACUGGCCUGUUUUGAGCAGUAAGCUUCCGGAGAACGUAUCUUUGAGGAGUACGCCCUCAUAUAUCCAGGUGAGUUUCCUCUUUCUAUUUUCUUCUUCUUGGGGACUUGAGUUGGGGCCUGCUUGGUCUGACCUCUGACUAAUGAAUUGUGCUCUUAUGUCUGAGAUGUGGAUCGCUCUGUUCCAGAUCCGUUUGCUGGGAAACUUGACACCAUCUUCUCUUACUUUUCACCAACAUGUCAUGACCACAGUUGCAGCUUUCAAACCACAUUCUUAAUGGACGAUUUUCUUUUUUUUCCAGGGUUAUAAUGAAGCACCAUAAUGUAGCCCAAUUUCAUAGAUGAAUGCAUGUUCACGAGUGAUGUGGACUGUAUUACACAGCUCAGUUGAUAUGCUAUUUCCAUAUUAUCCGCACUUCCGCAGGCAAUCCAUACUUGAUGAACCUUUUUUUGUUGUUGUGAUCAAUGCUUCAUGUGUAUACUUAUUCUGAGGUGCCUAUCAACUUUUAAACUCUUAACUCUUGCAAAAGAACAUGCAGAGUUAUACAGCUCAACUAUGUUUGUACUGUGCACUUUAAUUAUCUUGUGCCAAUAGUCUCACAUUUGAUUUACUCCCUCCGUCCCAAAAUAAGUGUCUCAACUUUAGUACAACUUUGUACUAAAGCUAGUACAAAGUUGAGACACUUAUUUUGGGAUGGAGGGAGUACCAUUUAUGCAUCUUGAUGCAUGCAGGCUUACUGUAUAGCUGAGACGAUCAAUAGGAAAUAUUAACCUGAUGGUGGAGCCCUUGAAUAAUUUCUCUUUCUUGUUUUCCCCAUUGGGGAAUGAACAGCCAUGCACUUCCUCUGGUUCUGAGUGAUGUUUUGAGUAUGAUAUGCUUGGAGAUCCGCAUUGUCAAAAGUUCAAUAUUUGGUAUGCCAGCUUUGGUUCAAACAUGUGGAAACCAAGAUUCUUGUGCUACAUCGAAGGGGGUAAGGUAAAGUUGAAAUCACAUUGUCUUUUAUAUAUGGCAAGGAACAUUUAGGUUCCUCUAUUUAAAGCUUGUAGCCUGUCGCUGCAUUCAUCACAUCAUUGAUUUCUCGGGGAGAUUUCAGUCGGUGCACCCCUUUCAGUUAAUGUAACUCAAAUCACUUAUGGAGGGUACUUUUGUACCUUCCGCACAAAUCGGGAAUAAAUAUCUGUCCACUUCAUGCAUUAGUCUGUUACGCACCGGUGUAUCAAUUCAAUUGGGGAAGCUACUGCCCGGAACAAUAGCAGCUCACGCUUGCUCCACGAUGUUUGAACAAACCUUAUCUAGUCCAUGGCUCUUCAUGCCUUCCUCGCUGCUCCUCUUAGUUUGUUUGAUCUGGCACUAUGAAUCACAGACGUCGACCUGGGGAUCGGUGUCUAUGAGUGCAAAGCUUCACGAACAUUCGCUAGCAAUGACCAAAGAGAUUGAGGGCCUAUUUGAUUCGCAGGAUUUUCAAAACAAGGGAAUAGGAAAACACAGGAUUGUAAUGUCAUGUUCAUCUCAAUCCUACAGGAUUUUGGGUUGUUUGAUUGCAUCAUAGGAAAGACAAAUUAUUCUUUCAAAGAGGUUUGAGUGGAUGGUAUAAAUCCUAUGGGAAGUAGUACAAAUAAAUCCUUACGAAAAAUUCCUAUAGUAUUCAAUCCUAUGAAUCAAACAAACAACAUCGGAAAAAUUCCUAAGGAUUCUAAUCCUCCAAAAUUCCUAUGAAAAUCCCUUGAAUCAAAGGAGCCCUGAACUGACUGUGGCCCCUUGCUUUAUCCUUCACUCCUGCUUCUAUAAGGGGAGAGGAGGGGGGCAAGCGUGAUGUAAGGAGAUGCGGACGGGCUGAGAUGAGGUUGGGCCUGAAGGUGGGCUGUGUGGGUUGCACCAUGCUCAGUAUCCCUCGUCGAGGUGGAGGGACUAUGGGCUCUGGGCGAAAUCUUUGGCCGGCGGGGGGGCGGUACCGGCGGCGGAGGCAUCCUAGGCAUCUUUAUCCUCCUUGGAGGCGUUGCCGAAGAGUUCAUCCAGACACCAGAUCAUUGUGGCUGGUACUAGGUUCCGGUGGCUAUUGGCGUGGCUGGAUCCCCUCCCACGGGGUUCAGUGGGGUGGUGGUGUGCAGAGCUCUUGGCAAAAGCUUUGUCCCGACGGAGGCGUUAUCGAAGUGCUUCUUCACUCCUACCUCGGGUCGCUUUGGCCCUCGAUCGAUUGGUUUGUGUUUGGUGGUGGUGCCUAGUUUUGCUUGGGGCUGUUUGUACUCUUUGUUGGGGUUUUUGCUCGGUUGUCCCCUAAUCAACCAUGUUGUGUGGUUUCUGGCCUAGUUUUCCCUAUAAACCGGGCCAACUCUCUUCUUAAUGAAAUAGCAGGAGCACCCUGCCCUCUGACGAGGUUCCGUAAAAAAAAGUAUCCAACCACAUGAAAUAGACUACAUCACCCUUUAUGGCGUGGUAAAUGACUCGUUGUAAUCCCCACCAUUUAUCCACAUGAAUAGUUUUCUAAAGGGGUUGUACCAAAGGAAUCCUUUUUGGGGGAUAUUUUGGUCUUCGGGAAGUGUUUUUAGUGCUUUCCGCAAAUGUAAAUUCCGCAACAAGACCUGUGUUGCGGAAAUAAUUCCGCAACAAGACCUGUGUUGCAGUAUGGAGGCGCGUUCGGCCGUGUGAUGCGGUAAUCCGACGGCUCGUGACCCGGCUGAUCUUGACGCGUAGCACACCCCUUAUUCUAACUUACCUUUUCCUUUUCUGAAGUGUUAUGCUUUGUGUGAAAGUUGCUAUUCAUUUUGGUCUGUGGCAGGUUGAUGGUAUGGGUGUAUCAUGUUUUGGUUCACAUGACACAAGCCCACGAAGAGGCACCAUGUGGAAAAUGUGUGUCAUACAUUUUUUUCAGGAGAUCCUCUAUCCCCUGUGGGGUACUGGUGGUGUUGCUUUCCUCAACCCUGAUAUAAACUACAGUGACAAGUCAAUGUCUGCAUGUACAAAAUAAUGUAUGUUAUAUCAUAACCACAUCUACGUUUUAUUGAUCCUUGAAUUAGGUCUGGGUGGAACAUAAUCUCUCGUCAGUGCUCUGAUUUCAUCAUGAAUUUCUCUUUUUUACAGGCUUGAGCAGUUCAAUUACACGUUGUUUCAAGAGAACUGUUUAGUGAAGGAUAUCGGCGAAGAUGGAAAAAUCAAGUCUCCUGGCUCUCCUUUGAUUCGCUUGUCUGAAAGACUCUGCCUCUUCACAAAAAACUCUUCAUCUUGAACCUAUUAAGGUUGGAUUUGCUGGUUUCCACAUCAAGCGCACGCUUAUCCUCCACAUAGAAUUUUCUAUAUGCCUAUAAAUAAAUGAGAGUAGUUAAUAUCACGUCGUUGGAAAAAAAUGCUCUUAAGUGCGACUGUCCUUCUGGCAGCACUUUGAUAAAGGACACUACCAACCUCUUGUGUGGCCAUCACUGGUAGAAUCUAUCAUUCUUACAGAUUAACGUUAAUGCCUGCUGUAAUAGUUGAUCCUUUGGUAAGGAAAUGCCAUGUCCUGCCUCUUUUGUCUGUCGGGUUGGUCUGAAGUUAGAAGUUACCUGGGACUGAUGCUUAGUCCAGAUCGCAGUUUGGAAUGUUACCAUGGAUUUGAAGCUCUUUUGACAUCAUCACAACAGUCGAAAAAGGUCUUGUUUCAGUACAUUACAAACUGAAAAGGAUAAACUAUUUUUCUUCUCAUAAUGCCGCUUCAUCCAUAGCAAUAUAGUUGACACUAGUUGAUUUUCUAAAUAAAUCUGAUGCUAGUUAUAUUUUCAUAUCAAUGGAUCAUUUCUGCAAGUUAUUAUUUUUUAUUUUUCAUGUUUGUUAUGCAAAUUUCCUACAGGAUAUCUGGUACUCCACGUGUAAAACCAACAUACUCUAUCUUGAGAGGAGGAUGACGUCCAAUUUUAACUAUGACGUAAGCUCCAGUCUUCACUUGGUAAAGAAAUUUCUUGUAGAUACUAUCCAAUGCACUACUUGAAGGGAAGCGGUAAGAACACAGAUGAAGAUAUGUUUUUUCGUGGAUGGUGUGAAAUUGUUUGUUUCCCUGCAGAUAGAUGCCCCUCAACAGCUGUUGCACAGGGGGAUCCCCCUCACCUAUGCUGUUCAACAUUGCUGUAGAUGUUUCGCAGGAAUUAAUUCAUAGGGCUAAGAGAGCUGGGUUGAUUUGAGGGGUAGUUCCUUGUCUAGUAGAGGGAGGCAUUAAUAUGUUACAAUAUGUUGAUGGCACAGUACUUUUAUUAAGAGCUGACAAGAAGAGGCCAAAGUGUUAAAGAACAUUUGAUGCUUAGUUAAGCAUCUUUCUGGUCUAAAGAUUAAUUUUAAUAAGAGCGAGCUUUAUUGUUUAUGAGAGGCUAGUGAUCACAUUAAAAUAUGUAGAGAAUUUUUUACUUGUGUAGCUGGUAGCUUCCUUGGGCAUCCCUGUGCAUAGUGUUAAGCUUAUGAAUAGUGAUUGGGAAGGAGUGGAGGACAAGAUGGAAGGGAAACUAGGAGCCUGGCAAGGAAGAAUGAUCUCUUAUGGUCCUAGAUUAAUUUUGCUGAAAUCCUGUUUGAGUAGUAUACCUUACUUUAUGAUGUCUAUGUUUACUAUUCCUAAAGAUCCUCUGCAUAGAGUAGAAUAUUUUAUGAAAAGACUUCUAUGGCAGGAUAGUGGUGAAUCUGACAAGUAGUACAAUUUAGUGAAGUGGGAAAAGGUUUGCCAACCUAUUCAUUGGGGUAGAGGGUCUGGGAGUAGUUGAUUUAGCUGUAAUGAAUAUGUGUCUUUUGAGUAAAUGGUUAUGGAAAAUAGAAAAUGAGGAAGGUAUGUGGCAAGAUAUUAUUAGAAGUAAAUAUUGUAAUAAAGAGUCCUAGUCAGCAUUAAGAGAAAACCUACUCAGUCUCAUUUUAUGAGUGGCAUCUUAGACUAGAAAAGAGUAUUACAAAUUUUGUAGGAAGCGAGUGGGGGAUGGCAAAACUACUAGACUUUUGGGAAGACUCUUGAUUAGGUAAUGUUCCACUGUGUAGUAAGUUCCAUAGAUUGUAUAAUGCUAACACCAGUUUUAAUAUUACUGUAGCAGAGGUGAUUGGGGGUUGGAUAAUGUCAAAUUUAGGAGGAGGUUGGGUGAUUUGGCUGAGCAGCAUUUGCAAUAUCUCUGUGAGGACGUGGUUCAAAGUGAGGAGAGAGAUAAGUGCGUGUGGACUUUAACUACAUGUGGUGAAUUUACCAUUAGAUCAAUGUACCUGAUGAUCAAAGCUUUGCAAGUUAGAUGUCGUUUUAGAAAAUUAUGGUUUAUUAAAGUACCUCUUAAGAUUACAGUUAUCUUGUGGUUGAUGUUUAAGAAUAGUAUAUUAUUGACUAAAGAUAACUUGAGAAAAAAGAGGUUUGGUGGGAGAUGAGAGGUGUCGAUUUUGUGAGGCUAAAGAAUCUGUGGAUCACCUCUUUAUUCACUGUUCUUUGGCAAAAUAUGUAUGGGGAGCAGUUAGUUGUGCUUUGGGGGUAUCCAUGAAUUUAGACACUGCACAAGAUAUUUCUCUGUGGAUCAUGAGAUUUCCUGGUAAGACGAGAGGACUAAUGGCUGCAGGGGUAGCAGCGGUGAUUAGGGGCUUAGGGCAAUUUGGAAGGUAGGAAUAAUGCAUAUAUGCUUUAGAGGUAUUUAUCCGCAUGAUCCGAGCAGCGUUAUUACUCAAGUUUCUCACUGGUUGGAACACUGGGCUGGUUUGCAGAAGCGAGGGGGUCCGAGAAUUACAAGCCAGAGGAGCAAGACUAUUGUUGCAGGUUGCAGCUGAGAUGUACAGCCAAAAGAGAGGGUGGGCGCCAGUGGUGCUGCGAAUAGCUGGAUGAAGGAGUUAUCUGGGAGCUUUUGAUUACUCGGCUGGGUUGUGUGUUUGGUUCUGCUUUUGGCUGUUGUUGCGCAAUCCUGCAAUGCAGCGGUUAGAGCCUAGAAGAAGUGAGCGGUGGUGUGCGGUUUGUUCUACUGGAGCCUUUGAUAGUGCAGGUAUAGUGGUUUUUAGAUUGGGUUUUAUAGUACUGAGUAUAUGUUAUUUUGUUAGAUGGUGCUGUUAUGUAUGAUGGAAUCUGAUCGUUGGUCGAUCCAAGUUACCCUGCUGUAUUGUCAUUGCUGCUUCCCUUCCACGAGUCCCUUGAUCGAUCUGUACUAGGACGCUUCCUAGUUUGAUUCGGAAUUAGGAGAGUAGAGGCCUCGUUGGAUCUGACCGACUAUUUUCGUUUGGAGUUUGCGCUGGUUUGAUCACUGAGAAAGUUCCAUGUAUAUAUUGAGCAGGUUUGAACAUGUCAAUCUCUCAAGUCUCACACAGCACGGACCCAACCCAAAGUGUUGGUCCGUCUUGGACAUUUCAGUGUCGUUCCUCCGUCAUCUUACAGUGCUGUGCACCUAGGGCUCGCGCUGUUGAAGGUACUGUGUCACCCAUGCGGAAGUUUUGAAUGUGUAUGUGUAUGAACAUGAUGUAUGCAAUGAUACGACAGGGGGCUCUCUGCUGGCUGUCCUAUCCCAAGAUUUAUCAUGUCAUGUAUCAUCGGCACGGAACAAUUUUAAGCGACGCACAUCAGGACACUCUCAUCCUAUGCUACUUGUAGACACAUUUUACUGUCAAAGGCGUGCACCGGAGAGGCCACAUGUGCGCAUUGGAGUGACGACAUGGUCACUUAGAUCCACGUAGUCUGCUUGAUCGGUCUAGGCCACAUGCGCGCAUUGGAGAUAAAAUUGAUUAAAACAAAUCGAUAUAGAUGGAAACUAGAUGUUUGGUUAAUGUCNNNNNNNNNNNNNNNNNNNNNNNNNNNNNNNNNNNNNNNNNNNNNNNNNNNNNNNNNNNNNNNNNNNNNNNNNNNNNNNNNNNNNNNNNNNNNNNNNNNNNNNNNNNNNNNNNNNNNNNNNNNNNNNNNNNNNNNNNNNNNNNNNNNNNNNNNNNNNNNNNNNNNNNNNNNNNNNNNNNNNNNNNNNNNNNNNNNNNNNNNNNNNNNNNNNNNNNNNNNNNNNNNNNNNNNNNNNNNNNNNNNNNNNNNNNNNNNNNNNNNNNNNNNNNNNNNNNNNNNNNNNNNNNNNNNNNNNNNNNNNNNNNNNNNNNNNNNNNNNNNNNNNNNNNNNNNNNNNNNNNNNNNNNNNNNNNNNNNNNNNNNNNNCAAAAAGGAAAGAAAAAAAUGAGAGAACCCACUAGAAGGAGGAAAGAAGAAAAAUACUAGUCGUGAAAAUUAAAAGGGGAAGGAAAAAAAUCAGAGAACCCGCUAGGAGGAAAGAAGAAAAAUACUAGUCGCGAAAAUUAAAAGGGGAAGGAAAAAAAAAUCAAAGAACCCGCUAGAAGAAGGAAAGAAGAAAAAAUAAACACAAAAAGGAAAGGAAAAAAAAUAAAAAAUCCGCUAGAAGGAGGGCUCGAACCUCCGACCUUGUGGUUAACAGCCACACGCUCUAGCCAACUGAGCUAUUCCAGCUUGGUGGCAAAGAACAGAACUCUCUCUAGAUAAUCAAUACGUUCCUAAUAGACACAAGGAGCCAGCACCGAAUCACCAUGAGUUAGUGGCCUAGGAAGCAAGCGACGAUAUUUCUCUCUCUUUAAACUAGACGAAUCGUGCAUCAGUAAGAAUAGGAAACCACCUUGACCUGAUCGCGCUUCCAUGUCCAACUCACCGAACAGUUUCGUGUCCAUCACAUGCCAAGGGUAAAGAGCUUGCCCAUAUGUUGCAAAAUUCCUAGUGAUUUACUACAGGACAUGGUAUAUUCUCCUAGGAUUGGUUGGUGUGUCCGUUGAGCUCAGCAUUGGUUUCAACCUGCCGAGACCCUGAGACAGGCCCCCAAUAAAAACAGGUGAUGGGACUACUUGUCCUGGGAUGUGUUACCGGGAGGAGGAGCAGUUGAACUGAUGCAAUCAACACCAGUAGGAUGUCACUCUGGAUUGUAACACUUGACACGUACUAUAAGAUUUGGUGCACCUACAACACAACCUUGAUCUAGCCAACAAUGUAACCACUUCAGCUCACCAAUUCUCAGCUCUGCAUCUACACAACCUUGAGUCUUUAUAGAGAUUUCACUAUGAACUACAUAGUGAGCAAAAUGAGUGAAUCUACACUUUAAAAGGUUUAGGGUUUAGUGGAAUCUCUCCAAAGACUUAUAUUUGGUAACGGGGAGAGGGAGUACAUUCAUACAUCAUCCAAAUGAAGAUUACCUAAGCCACUGAACGUGAAAGAAAGAUGAACGGAGCGUGUAUUUUGGGCACAGCGUCAUCAGGAGGCCAAACCGGCAAACAAAGCAAGCAACGAGUAAAAUUGCAAGGUUUCAACUUCCAACACUGGCAGCGGUACAGAAACAGCAGCAUAAGUCAAAUGCAAGGUUCCAACUUUCCAAACCAAGGUAAGGUACAGAGACAACAGAUACACUCCCAGCAUCAACCGCCCUCACUUUGGGGCAUUCAUGAUGCAUCACAACAGUAUCCCCCGUCUUUCGGGGUUUCCCCGCUGGCGGCGGGCAUACUGCACUACAAAUACAUAAAUAUGAAAAACAUACACAUCACCGAGAUUACGGACAGACGGCACCGACACAGACAGGCUCACAUCUUUAGAGGCCUACUUCUUCCAAGCACCAGGUCCUUUCUGGGGGAAAUGCACCACCAACCAACAGCUUGCGCUUUCAUGGACGACGGACGGAACAGAUCAUUGUGAAAACAUCUUCCACAACUUACAGGGAUGAUAUUUACUAAAAAGAACCACAGAGCAACCACAACCAUGUUCCAAAGCAGAUCAGGCGUCUUCCGUCUUGCACAGGUCCAGCAGUGACAGUGUCUGCAAAAUUGAGAUGAGAAUGUUCAGUCCACCUGUCUUGCUCAAGCAUCUAUUAUCGUGGCAGCUGGAGUAAGGUAUAUAUACCUCUGCUAUGGAGAGCUCGAGGCGGAAUUUAGGACCAUCAUAGUGGUGCAGCACUGGCCUAAAAGCAUCCUCUUCCAAGGCCUUGCAAAGCCUUCUAAUGCGGAUCCUCACCUGAUAUGAUGAUGAAUAUGUCAGAUCAUGAAAAACAAGCCUGAUAAUAAACAUAUGUCAACCUUGGAAAUUAAUUACCUGUGCUGGGAAUCUGGAUUCACCUUUGCACUUCUUAUCUUCCCAAGCGGUGGGAUCAAUGUUUGAUCCUCCAAAACUAGCAGCCUGAGACACAAGAAAAUCUGAUUAGAAUGCUGAAGAACAAGCACUAUAAUUUGUGCUAGAGUUCAACCAAGACGCAUGUGCAUUUGAAAUGGAACUUUGAGAACAGGUACGCUUCUAAUUUCAGCCAGGCAAAACCGGAAGGGCCACAGAAGCACGUUUGGCUAAUAGGAACGUAACAUCAGGAGAAUGUUGGCUUAGAAGCACAGGAAUAAAUUUGGUAACCUACCAUGUUUUAUUACAGCUAGAAGAAAGAAGAACAUGAAAGUUCAAGUUCUUGAUUACAUAUGGUAGAGUAUCUACACCGCCAAAAUGGCAUUUCCUAUUUAAUUCAGUUCCAAGAAAACACUAGCUAAAACUUUUCAUCUAAAAGGAAAUUCAGAAACAGCACACGAAACUAUCCAUGCAAAUGAUAUAAGCAUUUAUGUAUGACAAAUACAACUGUUACAAUGUAUUCAUGAAGAGGCUUGCAGUUCCAUUCAAAUAAGGAGGCUCGUAGUUAUCAGCAAAUGAAACAAUCACACACCUCAAACACCCCAUGUAGCUGAUGGGUCGUGUAGUUGUAGAGGAAAAGAGGUAGACCAGGAGUGAUGGCUCGGACUGAAUCACGAUAUCUUGCUGGCAAGCCUGCAGAACAGAACAAACCAUGAGUAACAGAGUAACUUACAUAUAAUUGUGUGAGAUGGUAUGUGAAAUGAUUUACAAGGAUACAUAGUAGGCAUACCAAAAAGCUGUCUCUUGAGAUCCUCCUGCAUGGUAUCAUUGUUGCAGACAAAGAUGUAUCCACCAAGAACUUCAUUCCUUGGUAGCAUCUCGCUUGUUGGUAAUGUUUUGAAGCGCUUGUCAACAGAGUUGUUGUUGCUGUUGCCUCCAUUGUUGUUGUUACCACCAUUGUGUUUGCCGUUUGCUUCCUUCCCAUUCUGAUUAUUCGGAUAUUUGUUGACCCCGACAUUCAUCUUGAAUGAAUUGACAUUACCGUUGUUUCCCUUGGGGUACAUGGGGUUCAUGUUAUAGGCCAUGUUGCGGAAAGGGUACUUCAUGGCAGCCUCGUUCAUCUUGAGAUCGUUCAUCUUAAGAUCCAGGUUCAUGAGGCCAAGAUUGAGGUGGUCCAUCUUGUUGUCUUCUUGGUGGUAGGAUUGCUUAUCCCAUUGCUUCACAUCAGGGACGGUGUUCAUCCUUGCAUACUCAAAGUCAUUCAUCCUCUCAGCCUUUGACUUUGUGAUCUCAGCCAGCUUUGAUGUCAUGAGAGACCAUUGGCGGUCCUCCACCACCUUUGAUUGCCCACGGAACUCAUCUCCGAGAUGCCACAAGUUGUCCAUAGCUCAGUUCAAGCUCUCUGCACGCAAGAAAGGAUUAACAUAUAUCAGGUGACAAACAACACUUGUAAAAUAUCCUGCUUACGAAAAUAAAUGCACCAUAGGACAUAAUGAUAUUGGAGCAACAUAUCUCCAAUACAACACAAAAAUUACAAAUAACUUCAUGCAUGUUGUAAUUCUAUUCUAAGAAACUAAUUUUUUUCAGAGCUGCUAUCUAACUUUAGAAUCAGACUAGACCGCUACUUCAGGAAACAAAAUGCUGAGCUACAAACCUAUAUUUACACCUCAACGAGCAAUAAAACUGAACCCAACCGAAAUCAGUGAGAGAACUUUUUGACAAUCAAUAAUAGCCCACCAAGAAUAGUGCAUCAAGGCGGGCAAGUUUCGACAGCAACAACAAGCUGCCAGAAUACGCUGUCCCCUUCCGUCCACGCUCUAGCCCUAUAUCCUGUUGUACUUCUCCCAUGAACACAAUCCCUACUCCUCGCUUUCUGAUCCCGCGCUGGUGCGCUUACCAUCGCUCAACUAUGAUCAUACAAACUCUCUACAAAACAAAUGGAAGUAACACCGACCAUUUCAAUUCAUGUUCAUGACAACUUUCAACUUAAACCAAGCUUCAUAAUACCGUAAAUCUAUCUUCCAACCGCACAAAAUUAAAAAUUCUAUAGACCAAUUCGUCACCCAGAAGGACGCCAAAUCACAACUAUCAUCUAGAUCUAUGGGAACUUUGAACCGAAUUUUACGGAACGCUACUCCCCAUGCCCAGAUCUGCCACCCCUUCCCAUCCGUGGCGGGGCAAGGAGGCACCCUGGAGUCCAGGAAGGGGGCUCAGGAGUGCCACUCGCCAGGACGGCGAGGCGCGCGGCGGAGGAUCGAGACCGUGGCCGCAACGGGAGCGCCGCGUGAGGCGAACCGGGCGAGGCCAGGCGGGUGCGGCGGCGCUACCGAACACGCGAGAGGUGAGAAACGGGGAAAGCGGAUGGCGCCGUCGGAUGCUACGAAACGGAACGAAAUACCAAGGCGAAUCUGGCGGAACCACCGGCGCCCCUACCCAACGACCGCGCCAAAAUCGACCGCCGAAACGCCGGCGAGAUCGCAUUUCGGGGCCUUACAAGCAAGGAGAUCGGAGAGGAGCCUCAUACCUGCUCGAUUCGGCGCCGGAUUCCGGCGGGGAGGGCGCUGGAUUUGGGGGCGAAUCGGGAACGAACUGCUGCGAGGAGGAGAGGAGUCGGCUCGGCUGGCUUGGCGUUGGCUCCCACUUCGCUCCGCCCACACGGAGUCCACCGGUCAGAGAGAUUGGAGAGGGUGAGGGAGGUGAGCUGUCCUGCCGGAUUUAUAGGAGAGUGGGGGCGGAAAGAGGCCCCGGGUUGCGGGUUAUUUACCCGGUGUGCCACUGGUGGGGCAGGGGGGCGGUCAUUUGUUUGCUUUGGUUGGUGGUCGGCCUCGAUGGUUGUUGCUCCGGUUGAGCGGAUGCCGUUUGUAGAACCCGUUAGAAAAUGCCAGAAGGUUGUAGCUAGGAGUAGGAGUAUAUUCUGCAAGUGUUUGAUAGAUCAUGCUCAGCUGCUUACAUAUAUGCAGAUUUGUUUUUCUUAUUGCGAAGGAAUCCCUGGAUUUCAAUGGGCCAUAUGAAUAUAUGAUUGACGUGAAGAAGAUUUCGGUCAUUAUGGUGGAUUCGGUUGCGUGUAUGUUUGUGUGUUUUGUGUGUUGUUUAAAAUGUUGUAUGUCCACGGUAGUCGAUGGCCGACAUGGCUAAGGUGGGGAACCAACUCUCGGUGAGGCGGCGAAGAACCAUCUCUCUCUGUGUUACAAGACUCAAAAGCGUAAUUAUUGAUGAGAACCACCACUUUGCGUUUCGUCAAGACUCAAGUCACCCCAUUCUCGCGUUUACCAACACGUGGCGGCUUCGAUAAGAACUCUACGAGAUUCUAGAUUUCUCCAUGGUUGUGGUCAAUUGUAUACGGAAGAUGCUUGUAGCGCACGCUUGCGAUGUCGUGUAGCUCGGUGGCGUGUGUGGGUUGUGUCUUCUAGCAAUGAAAAGCGAAGAUAAGGAAGUAGGUGGUAGGUGCCGCCGUAACGCUUAGUCGGUCGUCUAGAAACGAACGCCAACAUCGCUUGAUGGAUAGAGAUUGAGGAAGUGGAGCUAACGUCGGUUAGAUAGAGAUCCCGAGACCAGGACAUCGUCACGAGAUAGAUAGAGGCACCGCCCUGAGUGAGUAUACACUAGAAAACAAAGAUCACCAAGAGAAGAAAAGGAAAAGAGAUAGACGUGAUCAAGAUAGAUGGAUAGAUAGAUAGGAUUGUCGUAUACCCUUUCAUGACACGUUUGGCCGCAGAGGAUACGGAGGUCUUCUCGAUCUCCACCGACAAUUAUCCUUUUUUAUCACGAUCAUUCUUCAUCAUCUCGCCUUUGAUCCUCUAAGUGCCACAUAUGCCUCAUCCUUCCCUCGUGUGACCUCUUUUCCUCCUGUAGGUCACCACCUUUACACUAGUCACCUUUACCAGGUGGAUGAGGACGAAUCAUGAAAUAAGGUGAAAGGUAGAAACAUGACGAGAAGGAGGGGGGAGUAAGAGUUUCGCCGAAGAGGUGCUGAGCCGCUGACAUUGUAUUUAUCAUCCCUCUUUUGUCUUGGGGCCCAUACCGUAAGCCUCGACUGCUCAGUGGAACUUCAUCACAGAAUGUUCGAGUGUGGCCAUUUAGCAUCCACAAAAUUCCGAGCAUUUUGUAUAGGAUUGGUGUGGAACACUAUAAACAUAGUGUAAUGUUUAAUUAGAAGUAAUGUCAAGAUUUAACCCCUAAGGACAUGCUUUAUGAGGCUUCUCGUAAUUUGGUUGAUUGAUCUUCCAUCUUUACACGCGGAGAGGGCAGUAGUUUCGAAGAAAAAAAAGGUUUACUCCACUCCUUUUUACUUUUCAAAAAAAAUAUUAACUAGUCAGAAGAAAAAACAAAAAAGGAAUUCCAUGAAUUGUAUUUUUAUUGAUCAAUUAGGAUUGACUUCUAGAAUGUAUAAUUGUCUAAAAAGGGCCAAUAUACAAAGUUUCCAAGGAAUUACUGUACUCAUAUUCCCUUUAGGUGUCCGGGAUUACUAUCCUCCUCCUUUUAUCCCGACGUUAAAGCAGGUCUUGUUGAAGUGUAGAGGGUCAUACACCUACCAAUUUACCAAAUAAUUAUUGUAUAAAACUCAAUGUCGUAGCAAAGAGAAGGAGAGGCGGUUUGCCAUCUGGGUCACUGCUGCCAUAACCGUUUAGUCAGUCAUCAAAGGCCAGCAUAACCGGAUAAAUAGAGGCCCCACACACGAGUAAAUGUAGAUUAGAAAACAAAGAUUUUCAAGAGAAGAAAUGAAAAUAGUAGACAUUAUCACAAUAUAUAGUAUUGAAGUAGUGGCUCUAAUCCUACUUAAGGAACCACCCCUAUCCUACAUGGCAUGCCACGUAGAUGAUCAACAAGAGUCAAAUCUAGUUCAUACUCAAUACUAGUCAAGGCAGUCAAUAAUAGUCCAAGCCCCUCCCCCCUCAUGGGUCAAAGCAAGCCCUCCCGGUCAACAAAAGUCCAAGCAAGACUUCUUGGUCAAUAAAUCAGAGGAAGAUGACCUCAUAAAAGAAUAAGUUAAAGCUGAAUGCAAAGAGAACAAAGAAAGCCCAAGGUCAACGUAGACACACUUCUCCAUGGAGUAGGAACUAUCCACUCAACGGGCUAUAACCCACCUCCUAGCCCAAUAAGGGGCACAUGGGCCUAGAUAAUUAGCUAGUUCUAUUGUGCCACCUCCUCACUUCAAGGGUAGCCUUGGUCGUCUAUCAAGCACCCCUGGGCUAUACAAGUCCCCCAUGACCGUGUAACUCACUCAAUCUCACUUGAAUAGACUCAAUAGGAGGGUCACUCACCCUUCCAGGCCCCUUUAGGAGGGUAAAAGAAGAGCAAGACUAAAAAAAUCUGAGGGGACAUAUAAGGCCCUGACUAGUCGGGAGUCAUGGGACUCCGGAAGCACUGGCACUCUAAGUAUUUUUGUGCGCUGAGCACCACUCUCGAUGACCCUUCAAUAGAAUGUAGGUCAUGCUCCCACGAGAUGACUGAACCUAUUUAAAACAAUGUUGUGUCACCUUGUCGAAUGCAUGACAACCUUCACUAUAAGGCUGUCAUACACGCCUCGCCUACUCAUCACUAACCACGUUGCUAUGGAGACCCCUAGCCGACAGUUGAUUCUUGAACAUCAACUAAUAGAUAUGUAAAUAGAUAAGAGUAUCAUACGCCCAUUAGGGCACGUUUGGUUGGAUGGUAUAGUGAAGUCUUCUCAAUCCCCACCAACAAUUGUCCAUUUUAUCAUGAUCCUUCUGCAACAUCUUGCAUUUGUUCAUCUUAAGUGUCACAUAGGCCUCAUCCUUCCUCAUGUUGGUUGCCAUCUUUAUGAUAGUCGCCUUGCCCGAUGCAUGAGGACAAGCUAAGAAUCAGCCGAAACAAUAUGAAAAAUACAAGAAGUGUCAAAUGCUCUGUGCAAGAUUGAGGGCCAAAUCAUGUUGAUAGUAUCGUUGAGUGUUUAGACAUGGUCGUUUAAGAUGCACAAGAGUUUUGUGUAUAAGAAUUGGAGUGAGACACUAUAAACACUAGUAAAUGCGUACGUGCAAUGCACAUUGAUAUUAGGCAGAAAACUAAUUGCACAUUGAUAUUAGAAAAAAAAUUAAUAGCAUGUUAAUAUUAGGUAGGAUAUCAAUUACAUGUUAAUUACCUGGAUAGUCAUAUUUGGUAUGUUAUUAACUACACACUAAACAUGUUGAGUGCUCGCGGUUGGAACAAUAUAGGUUGUUGAAUUAACACUGUUUGAUGGCCGAGAUUUGUUGGAUCUGCCCCUUUUGAUUUUUCUGUAUUGAUAUAGAUAUAGAUUGUUGAAUGUUUAAUUAGAAAUAAUGCAAAAACGAUUACAAUAGUGAUUUGAUGCCAUCAUAUUGCUUGUAUCCAUGAAUGGAUUAGGCAAAGUGUUGCUAAGUUCCAAAGGAAAUACCGUACUCAUCGUUUUAUCCUUGUGCUAAAGCGAGCCUCGUUCAACUGUUGAGGUUCAUACACCGACCAAUUUAGCAAAUAGUUAUUGCAUGCUUUAUGCCACGUGGGUGUGUGGGAUUUCAGAAAAAAUCAAUAAGUUAUAUAUUGAAAUUCCAAAAAAAGUUGACAAAAGCCGACGUUUUACACCUAGGUAUGAUAUGCAUACUCUACCUUCAUUAAUAAAUGUUUUCAUUUGUGUGCUACAUAAAAAUCAAUUUCGCGGGUCUACAAUAGGAAAUGAUAUAUUGUAGAUCAACAUAUAUGUCUUUUUUAUGCAGCCCUACAAAUCAACAUAAUGUUAUAUGAAUAUUCACUAGUACAUAACCAGAGUAUACAUGUACUUGUACAUUUUUAUAAAAAAAAUUAAACUUUAGAAUGUUUUUUAUAGAGGAGUUGAUGAACAUGAGCUCAUUUAGCAAUAUCCGAGUAAGGAACCAAAUGCAAGUAGUAAGAUUAAACUAGGUCAUGUUACUGAAGGAAAUAUGUCCUAGAGGCAAUAAUAAAGUUAUUAUUUAUUUCCUUAUUUCAUGAUAAAUUUUUAUUAUUCAUGCUAGAAUUGUAUUAUCCGGAAACAUAAUACAUGUGUGAAUACAUAGACAAACAGAGUGUCACUAGUAUGCCUCUACUUAAUUAGCUCGUUAAUCAAAGAUGGUUAUGUUUCCUAACCAUAGACAUGAGUUGUCAUUUGAUAAACGGAUUAACUUGACCCAUUCCGUUAGCUUAGCACUUGAUCAUUUUAGUUACUGAUAUUGCUUUCUUCAUGACUUAUACAUGUUCCUAUGGCUAUGAGAUUGUGCAACUCCCGAUUACCGGAGGAACACUUUGUGUGCUACCAAACGUCACAACGUAACUGGGUGAUUAUAAAGGUGCUCUACAGGUGUCUCCGAUGGUACUUGUUGAGUUGGCAUAAAUCGAUAUUAGGAUUUGCCACUUCGAUUGUCGGAGAGGUAUCUCUGGGCCCUCUCGGUAAUGCACAUCACUAUAAGCCUUGCAAGCAAUGCAACUAAUGAGUUAGUUGUGGGAUAGUGCAUUACAGAACGAGUAAAGAGACUUACCGGUAAUGAGAUUGAACUAGGUAUUGAGAUAUCGACGAUCGCAUCUCGGGCAAGUAACAUACCGAUGACAAAGGGAACAACGUAUGUUGUUAUGCGGUUUGACCGAGAAAGAUCUUCGUAGAAUAUGUAGGAACUAAUAUGAACAUCCAGGUUUCGCUAUUGGUUAUUGACCAGAGACGUGUCUCGGUCAUGUCUACAUAGUUCUCGAACCCGUAGGAUCCGCAUGCUUAACGUUCGGUGACGAUCGGUAUUAUGAGUUUAUGUGAUUGGAUGUACCGAAGGUAGUUUGGAGUCCCGGAUGAGAUCGGGGACAUGACAAGGAGUCUCGAAAUGGUCGAGAUGUAAAUAUCGAUAUAUUGGACGACUAUAUUCAGACAUCGAAAAGGUUCCGAGUGAUUCGGGUAUUUUUCAGAGUAAUGGGGAGUUACGGGAAUACGGGGAAGAAGUAUUGGGCCUCAUGGGCCAAGUUGUGGAAGAGAGGAGGCAGGGCGCGCGGCCCCCUAGCCCAAACCGAAUUGGACUAGGGGGGCGACCCCCCUUUCCUCCUUUCCUCCCUCUCCUUCCUUCUCCCCUCCCCCUUCCUUUCCUCCUCCUAGUAGGAGUAGGAAAGGGGAGUCCUACUCCUACUAGGAGGAGGACUCCUCCUCCUGGCGCGCCCUAGGAGGGCCGGCCGGCUCCCCCUUGCUCCUUUAUAUACGGGGGCAGGGGGCACCCUAGGACCCACAAGUUGAUCAUUGAUCCCUUAGCCGUGUGCGGUGCCCCCCCUCCACCAUAAUCCACCUCGAUCAUAUCGUAGCGGUGCUUAGGCGAAGCCCUGCGUCGGUAGCAACAUCAUCACUGUCAUCACGCCAUCGUGCUGACGAAACUCUCCCGUGAAGCUCUGCUGGAUUGGAGUUCGUGGGACGUCGUCGAGCUGAACGUGUGCUGAACUCGGAGGUGCCGUGCGUUCGGUACUUGGAUCGGUCGGAUCGUGAAGACGUUCGACUGCAUCAACCGCGUUCUCAUAACUCUUCCGCUUACGGUCUACGAGGGUACAUGGACGAUACUCUUCCCUCUCGUUGCUAUGCAUCACCAUGAUCUUGUGUGUGCGUAGGAUUUUUUUUGAAAUUACUACGUUCCCCAACAGUUACCUCGUUGAUUACCUGUUGAGCCCACAUUCUUGAUCUUACAUGUCUUUAAGGCCAACUCCAACGUGUCGACGCGAAUGGACGUGGAUUUGGCCUGCCUUUUGUCCAUUUGGAUCGGCUGUAGGGACAGUGUUCCCUCGUCCGCACAAAUCUUGCUAGCACACCCAACCGACUAACCCAUAUGGUCCGCCUCAUCGGUUUUUUGCCAAAUUUUCUCAAUUUAGACAUUCUACGCAUAUACAACCAAAUAAAACAAAACAUUUCACAUAGUUUACAACCAAAUAAGUUACACAACAUUUUCAUCACAAUAAAUAAAAAAACUCAUAGUUUAUUACAACCAAAUGAAUUUAAAAUUGUACCAACUACAUUGUAAAAACAGAGUCGAUACACCUAUUGGUUUCCUACGCGAGUCCACAUAUGCUCAACCAAAUUAUUUUGAAGUUAAAUGAUGAGUUGUCCAACCACGUAUUUCUUGAUGAAAUUGGGUGAAAUGUGCAAACAUUGCCGCUCCAUACUCAGGCUCAACGUUCUCACCCUAGAAACCCCACCCUUGAUCAAAGACGAUGUCAUCAUGCUUGUCCUCUACAAUCAUGUUGUGCAUGAUCACACAAGCAGUCAUCACAUCCCACCUCCUCCGAGGACUCCAUGUUCAGGGUGCCGAACGGGGUUGAUUGGAAUCAAGAGACAAAGGUUUACCCAGGUUCGGCCCCUCGCGGUGGAGGUAAAAGCCUACAUCCUUCUUGAUUGCUAUUUGAUGCCGAUGAUGAUCUCGAUUACAGGGUGCUAUUUCACUACCUCUCAUCUCGAGAGCAUAUACUUUGAUCUUGUCUAAGACUUGUCUGUCUGUCCUGACUUGUCUGUCUAAAAAACCUCCUUCUGAUGACCCACGGACUCCCUUUAUAUAAUAGUUGAGCUCCUGGAUUACAAGAGAUUCCAGGUUAUACCCGUUUUCAGAGUCCUACUCUAAGUCCUCUAAGUCCCCCGUGCCAUCCAAGUCGGGGUUCUCCGUCUUGUAUUUGGACUCCUGGAAACCUAGACUUGUCUCUCCAAGUUGGGACUCAUCCUCAAGCCGGGUCUCGUCUUCAGAGUUGGCUCAUCUCCAUGAGCCGGUUUAUCUCCAGAGCAUGCUUAUCUCCGUGAGGCUUCUUCACUUAGUGAGACCACUUAAUUAACUCCGUGAGACGGCUCGUCCGUGAGCCUGCUUAUCCAUGAGCCGACACAUCUUCACGAGCCUGCUUAUCCAUGAGCCGACUCAUCUCCAUGAGCCCGCUUAACCAUGAGCCAGCUCAUCUCCCUGAGCCUGCUUAUCCAUGAGCCCGCUCAUCUCCAUGAGGCCGCGUCACUCCGUGAGCCUGCUUAGCCAUGAGCACGCUCAUCCAUGAUCCGGCUUAUCUUUAGAGUCAGAAAACUUGUCUUGUAAUCGGUCGGGUCAAGAUUGUAGCCUGCUACUUCUUGAGCUUGCGUUGAUUUUUCCCUUGAAGAGGCAAGAGUGAUGCAGCAAAGUAGAGAUAAGUAUUUCCCUCAGUUAAGAACCAAGGUAUCAAUCUAGUAGGAGGCACAAGCAAGUAUCCAAUCUAUGCACCUCCACAAACUAACAAACACUUGCACUCAACGCGAAAAAGGGGUUGUCAAUCUUGAUACGUCCAUUUUGCAUCAUGUUUUCUUACUGUUAUUUAUAAUAUUUUAUCCAUAAUAAUGUUUUUUGGAGUAAUUCUAAUGCCUUUUCUCUCAUAAUAUGCAAGGUAUACACAAAAAGGGAGAAUUCCGGCAGCUGGAAAUCUGGACCUGUAAAAGCUACGUCAGGCCAUCUAUUCCGCACAACUCCAAAUGAGCUGAAACUUCACGGAGAAUUUUUAUGAUAUAUUUGAGGAAUAUUGGAGCAAAUAUCUACCAGAGGGGUCCCACCAGGGCGCGCCAGGGAGCCCAAGCGCACCCUGGUGGGUUGUGCUCACCCAGGCCCACCUCCGGUGCCCAUCUUUUGGUAUUUAAGUCAUUUUGACCUAGAAAAAAUAAAGACAAGACUUUCGGGAUGGAGCGCCGCCGUCUCGAGGCGGAACUUGGGCAGGAGCACUUUUGCCCUCCGGCGGAGCGAUUCCGCCGGGGGAACUUCCCUCCCGGAGGGGGAAAUCAUCGUCAUCAUCAUCACCAACAACUCUCCCAUCUUGGGGAGGGCAAUCUCCAUCAUCAUCUUCAACAACACCAUCUCCUCUCAAACCCUAAUUCAUCUCUUGUGUUCAAUCUUGUUACCGGAAUUAUAGAUUGGUGCUUGUGGGUGACUACUAGUGUUGAUUACAUCUUGUAGUUGAUUACUAUAUGGUUUAUUUGGUGGAAGAUUAUAUGUUCAGAUCCAAUAUGCUAUUUAAUACCCCUCUGAUCUUGAGCAUUAUUAUCAUUUCUGACUAGUUACUUUUGUUCUUGAGGUCACGGGAGAAAUCAUGUUGCAAGUAAUCAUGUGAACUUGAUAUGGGUUCGAUAUUUGGAUAGUAUGUAUGUUGUGAUUCCCUUAGUGGUGUCAUGUGAACGUUGACUACAUGGCACUUCACCAUAUUUGGGCCUAAGGGAAUGCAUUGUGGAGUAGCGAUUAGAUGGUGGGUUGGGAGAGUGACAGAAGCUUAAACCCCAGUUUGUGCGCUACCCCGUAAGGGACCGAUUGGAUCCAAAAGUUUAAUGUUAUGGUUAGAAUUUAUUCUUAAUACUUUCCUCGUAGUUGUGGAUGCUUGCGGGAGGGUUAAUCAUAAGUAAGAGGUUUGUUCAAGUAAGAACAUCACCUAAGCACCGGUCCACCCACAUAUCAAAUUAUCAAAGUACCAAACACAAAUUAAGCCAACAUGAUGAAAGUGACUAGAUGAAAUUCCCGUAUACCCUCAAGAACGCUUUGCUUAUCAUAAGAGACUGUUUUGGCCCGUCCUUUGCCUCAAAAGGAUUGGGCUACCUUCCACUUUCGUUACCACUAUCGUUGCUUGCUCGUUACAAAAAUAGUAUAAAAAGUUGCCAAAAGUAUGUAAAAGUUGUAGAAUAUUGGCAUGGAACAAUCAAAAAUUACAGAUAUGAUGGAGACAUAUCAAGUAGAAGCACUCAGUUUCAGGCUUGGGUCUAGCUUUAGGCUUCUUCAUGGGAGUGGCAACUUGCUUGUCAUUCUUCUUGAAGUUCCCUUUUCUUUCCCUUGCCCUUUUACUUGAAACUAGUGGUCUUGUCAACCAUCAACAUUUGAUGUUUUUCUUGAUUUCUACCUUCGUCGAUUUCAGCAUCACGAAGAGCUUGGGAAUCGUUUUCGUCAUCCCUUCCAUAUUAUAGUUCAUCACGAAGUUCCAGUAACUUGGUGAUAGUGACUAGAGAACUCUGUCAAUCACUAUCUUAUCUGGAAGAUUAACUCCCACUUGAUUCAAGCGAUUGUAGUACUCAAGCAUUUUGAGCACAUGCUCAUUGGUUGAGCUAUUCUCCUCCAUCUUGUAGGCAAAGUACUUGUCAGAGGUAUCAUACCUCUCGACUCGGGCAUGAGUCUGAAAUACCAAUUUCAGCUCUUGGAACAUCUUAUAUGCUCCAUGGCAUUCAAAAUGUUUUUGAAGUCCCGGUUCUAAGCCGUAAAGCAUGGCGCACUAAACUAUUAAGUAGUCAUCAUACCGAGCUUGCCAAACAUUCAUAACGUCUGCAUCUGCUCUUGCAAUAGGUCCGUCACCUAGCGGUGCAUCAAGGACAUAAUUCUUCUGUGCAGCAAUGAGGAUAAUCCUCAGAUCACAGACCCAGUCUGCAUCAUUGCUACUAUCAUCUUUCAACUUAUUUUUCUCUAGGAACAUAUCAAAAAUAAAACAAGGGAGCUAUAUGCGAGCUAUUGAUCUAUAACAUAGAUAUGCAAAAACUAUCAGGACUAAGUUCAUGAUAAAUUAAAUUUUAAUUAAUCAUAUUACUUAAGAACUCCCACUUAGAUAGACAUCCCUCUAGUCAUCUAAAUGAUCACGUGAUCCAUAUCAGCCAAACCAUGUCCGAUCAUCACGUGAGAUGGAGUAGUUUUCAAUGGUGAACAUCACUAUGUUGAUCAUAUCUACUAUAUGAUUCAUGCUCGACCUUUCGGUCUUAGUGUUCCGAGCCAUAUCUGCAUAUGCUAGGCUCGUCAUCAGGUUUAACCCGAGUAUUCUGCGUGUGCAAAACUGGCUUGCAUCCGUUGUAUGUGAACGUAGAGAUUAUCACACCCGAUCAUCAUGUGGUGUCUCGGCACGACAAACUGUCGCAAUGGUGCAUACUCAGGGAGAACACUUAUACCUUGAAAUUUAGUGAAGGAUCAUCUUAUAAUGCUACCGCCGUACUAAGCAAACUAAGAUGCAUAAAGGAUAAACAUCACAUGCGAUCAAAAUAAGUGAUAUGAUAUGGCCAUCAUCAUCUUUUGCCUUUGAUCUCCAUAUUCAAAGCACCGUCAUGAUCACCAUCGUCAAGGCUUGAUACCUUGAUCUCCAUUGAAGCAUCGUUCUUGUCUCGCCAACUAUUGCUACUACGACUAUCGCUACCGCUUAGUGAUAAAGUAAAGUAAUUACAUGGCGAUUGCAUUUCAUACAAUAAAGCGACAACCAUAUGGCUCCUGCCAGUUGCCGAUAACUGUUACAAAACAUGAUCAUCUCAUACAACAAUUUAUAUAUCAUCACGUCUUGAUCAUAUUGAUAACCCACAAGUAUAGGGGAUCGCAACAGUUUUCGUGGGUAGAGUAUUCAACCCAAAUUUAUUGAUUCGACACAAGGGGGGCCAAAGAAUAUUCUCAAGUAUUAGCAGUUGAGUUGUCAAUUCAACCACACCUGGAAACUUAAUAUCUGUAGCAAAGUAUUUAGUAGCAAAGUAAUAUGAUAGUAGUGGUAACGGUAGCAAAAGUAAUGUUUUUGGUAUUUUGUAGUGAUGAUAGCAAUAGCAACGGAAAAGUAAAUAAGCGAAGAACAAUAUAUGGAAAGCUUGUAGGCAAUGGAUCGGUGAUGGAGAAUUAUGCCGGAUGCGGUUCAUCAUGUAACAAUCAUAACAUAGGGUGUCAUAGAACUAGCUCCAAUUCAUCAAUCUAAUAUAGGCAUGUAUUUCAAAUAUAGUCAUACGUGCUUAUGGAAAAGAACUUGCAUGACAUCUUUUGUCCUACCCUCCCGUGGCAGCGGGGUCCUAAUGAAACUAAGGGAUAUUAAGGCCUCCUUUUAAUAGAGUACCGGACCAAAGCAUUAACACAUAGUGAAUACAUGAACUCCUCAAACUACGGUCAUCACCAGGAGUGGUCCCAAUUAUUGUCACUUCGGGGUUGCCGGAUCACAACACAUAGUAGGUGACUAUAGACUUGCAAGAUAGGAUCAAAAACUCAUAUAUAUUCAUGAAAACAUAAUAAGUUCAGAUCUGAAAUCAUGGCACUCGGGCCCUAGUGACAAGCAUUAAGUAUAGCAAAGUCAUAGCAAAAUCAGUCUCAGAACAUAAUGGAUACUAGUGAUCAAACCCUAACAAAACUAACUCGAUUACAUGAUAGAUCUCAUCCAACCCAUCACCAUCCAGCAAGCCUACGAUGGAAUUACUCACGCACAACGGUGAGCAUCAUGAAAUUGGUGAUGGAGGAUGGUUGAUGAUGACGAUGGCGACGGAUUCCCCUCUCCGGAUCCCCGAACGGACUCCAAAUCAGCCCCCUCGAGAGGUUUUAGGGCUUGGCGGCGGCUCCGUAUCGUAAAACGCGAUGAAUUCUUUGCUCUGAUUUUUUCUCCCCGAAACCAAAUAUAUAGAGUUGGAGUUGAGGUCGGAGGAGCUCCAGGGGGCCCAUGAGGUAGGGGGCGCGCCCCUCACCCUCGUGGACAGGUGGUGGACCCCCUGGUCUUCAUCUUUUGCAAGGAUUUUUUAUUAGUUUCGAAUAGAUGUUCCGUGAAGUUUCAGGUUAUUCCGAGAACUUUUGUUUCUGCACAUAAAUAACACCAUGGUAAUUUUGCUGAAAACAACGUCAGUCCGGGUUAGUUCCAUUCAAAUCAUGCAAGUUAGAGUCCAAAACAAGGGCAAAAGUGUUUGGAAAAGUAGAUACGACGGAGAUGUAUCAACUCCCCCAAGCUUAAACCUUUGCUUGUCCUCAAGCAAUUCAGUUGAUAAACUGAAAGUGAUAAAGAAAAACUUUUACAAACUCUGUUUGCUCUUGUUGUUCUAAAUAUGUAAAGCCAGCAUUCAAGUUUUCAGCAAAGAUUAUGAACUAACCAUAUUCACAAUAACACAUAGGUCUGAAGUUUACUCAUAUCAAUGGUAUAAUCAACUAGCGAGCAAUAAUAAUAAAUCUCGGAUGACAACACUUUCUCGAAACAAUCAUAAUAUAAUACAACAAGAUGGUAUCUCGCUAGCCCUUUCUGAGACCGCAAAACAUAAAUGCAUAGCACCUUUAAAGAUCAAGGACUGACUAGACAUUGUAAUUCAUGGUAAAAGAGAUCCAGUCAAGUCAUACUCAAUGUAAACUAACAGUAAUGAAUGCAAAUGACAGCGGUGCUCUCCAACUGGUGCUUUUUAAUAAUAUGAUGACUCAACAUGAAAGUAAAUAGAUAGGCCCUUCGCAGAGUGAAGCAGGGAUUUGUAGAGGUGCCAGAGCUUGGUUUUGAAAUAGAGAUGAAUAAUAUUUUGAGCGGUAUACUUUCAUUGUCAACAUAACAACCAAGAGAUGGCGAUAUCUUCCAUGCUACACACAUUAUAGGCAGUUCCCAAACAGAAUGGUAAAGUUUAUACUCCCCCUCCACCAACAAGCAUCAAUCCAUGGCUUGCUCGAAACAACGAGUGCCUCCAACUAACAACAGUCCCAGGGGAGUUUUGUUUGCAAUUAUUUUGAUUUAGUUUGCAUAAAGCAUGGGACUGGGCAUCCCGGUGACCAGCCACUUUCUCGUGAGUGAGGAGCGGAGUCCACUCCUCUUGAGAAUAACCCGCCUAACAUGGAAGAUACGGACAACCCUAGUUGAUAUAUGAGCUAUUCAAGCAUACAAAACAUGAUAUUUAUUUGAAGUUUUAGAGUUUGGCACAUACAAAUUUACUUGGAACGACAGGUAGAUACCGUAUAUAGGUAGGUAUGGUGGACUCAUAUGGAAUAACUUUGGGGUUUAUGGAGUUGGAUGCACAAGCAGUAUUCCCGCUUAGUACAGGUGAAGACUAGCAAAAGACUAGGAAGCGACCAGUUAGAGAGCGACAACAGUCAUGAACAUGCAUUAAAAUUAAUUAACACCGAAUGCAAGCAUGAGUAGGAUAUAAUCCACCAUGAACAUAAAUAUCGUGAAGGCUAUGUUGAUUUUGUUUCAACUACAUGCGUGAACAUGUGCCAAGUCAAGUCACUUAAGUCAUUCAGAGGAGGAUACCACCCUAUCAUACCACAUCACAACCAUUUUAAUAGCAUGUUGACACGCAAGGUAAACCAUUAUAAGCUCCUAGCUAAUCAAGCAUGGCACAAGAAACUAUGAUCUCUAGUUGUCAUUGCAAACAUGUUUAUUCAUAAUAGGCAGAAUCAGGAACGAUGAACUAAUCAUAUUUACAAAAACAAGAGAGGUCGAAUUCAUACCAGCUUUUCUCAUCUCAGUCAAUCCAUCAUAUAUCGUCAUAAUUGCCUUUUACUUGCAUGACCGAAUAGUGUGAAUAAUAAUAAUAGUGCACGUGCAUUGGACUAAGCUGGAAUCUGCAAGCAUUCAAUAAACAGGAGAAGACAAGGCAAUAUGGGAUCUUUUGUCAGAUCAACAAUAAUGCAUAUAAGAGCUACUUCAAGAAUUUAAUUAUGGUCUUCUCCUAUCGACCCCCAAAGAAAAGAAAUAAAACUAUUAACACGGGAAAGCUCCCAACAAGUAAAAGAAGAACAAGAAAUAUUUUUGGGUUUUCUUUUUUAAUUACUACUACAAGCAUGGAAAGUAAACUAAUUAAAGGCUACAACUAUUUUUUUCUUAAUGUUUAUUAAACACAUAAGAAGAAAGCAUAAAAAGGAAAAUAAACUAGCAUGGGUGAUACAAUGAAAAAGUAUGAGCACCAACAUCUAGCAAUGAGUGUGUGAACAUGAAUGUAAUGUCGAUGGGAAAUACGUACUCCCCCAAGCUUAGGCUUUUGGCCUAAGUUGGUCUAUGGCCACGGUUGGCCUGGCUGAUAUCCAUAGUAAUAGUUGGGGUGAUACUGUGAUGCAGCGGCUAUCGCCUCCUGAGCUGCAGCGUGGCGAUGAGCGGCCUCUGCCCUCCUCUCGUACUCAUUUGCCUCCUCUCUGGUAAUAACAUAUCUUCCUUUUGCCUGAUAAUCAAAGAAGGCAGGAGCAUAGAGAGUAAUACGGACAUCACGACGUCUGUCAAAGAUUAAACGAUACUGGAGAGGUGAUUCAUUCCUCUCAACAAACUGGUGGUGAACCAUAGCAUUAAAGUCUAGGUAAGCAGGAGGUAAUUCAGUAUCAUCAUUACGUAUAGUUACACCAAGAAAAUCAGCUAAGCGGGUUGCAUAAAUUCCACCAAAGAAAUCUUUAUUAAAUCUAUUCAGAUGCAACCUACGUGCAACAAUGGCUCCCAAAUUAUAAGAUUUAUCUCCCAACACAGCACUCCUAAGAAUACUAAGGUCAGGGACACACAUGUGACAUGCUUCAUCUUUACCGUUAAUGCAUCUACCUAUGAAGAGAGCGAAAUAAUGUAUAGUAGGAAAAUGAAUGCUCCCUGUGGUAGCUUGUGUUAUAUCUCUAGAUUCCCCCACAGUUAUACUAGCAAGAAAAUCUCUAAAUUCAGAUUUGCGAGGUUCCCUGAUACUACCCCAUUGUGGAAGUUUGCAAGCAGUGGUAAAAUCCUCUAAGUCCAUAGUGUAAGAAUUUUCAUAAAGAUCAAACAGGACAGUUGGAGAAUUACGUGAAGAUGAAAAUUCAAACCUCCUCACAAAGGAACUAGUGAGAUAGUGGUACUGACGGUAUUUUUCUUCCUCGAAGCUCACAAGAUUAGCGUUACGCAAAUAUACGUUAAAUUCUUCCUUAAUUCCCGCUCGAUCCAUAAAGUUCUCCGAAGGCCAUUCACAAGGACGCACUGGAGCGUUUCUUGGUGGCUCAUCAUCAGCAUCACGCAUUGCAAGCCUGGGCUCUUGUUUCCUUGAAGAGCCCCCUUGGUACAUUUUCCUAAACAUAUUUCUUCCUCUAAAAAAUUUCUGAAUUUUUUAGUAACUUCAAAAUAAAAGUGAACCAAACUCAAUAAUAUUGAUAGCAACUACUCCUACAAGUUCUUAGAGCCUAUAUCAUGCAUCAAAACUACUUUUAACCAUAUAAAUUUGACAUGCAAGCUCAAGAACAGGGUCACCUAAGCAACACAAAUUUGCAAUGAAUAAAGCACUAGAACAAAAACUAAUUGGACCAAUGGAGGAGUCACCUACCAAGGAACAAUCUCCCCAAGCAGUUUUGUGAGAGGUGCUUUAAGCAAGGAGAUCGAAAAUGGUAGCAAAAUGAGCUUAGACUCGGGUUUGAGUUGGAUAUUCGUGUUUGUGGGAGGAAGAAGGAGUGUGUGGGUGCAGGAAUAAGUGGAGGAGGGCCACCAUGGGCCCACGAGGCAGGGGGCGCGCCUAGGGGGGUAGGGCGCGCCCCUGACCCUCGUGGCCAGGUGCCAGCUCCUCGUGUUGUGUUCUCAGUGCCAAAUAUUCUCAAAUAUUUCAGAAAAAAAAUCAUAUUUAAAUUUCAGGGCAUUUGGAGAACUUUUAUUUUUGGGGUAUUUUUAUAUUGCACGGAUAAAUCAGAUAACAGACAGAAAAAUACUAUUUUUAUUUUAUUUAAUAUAAAUAACAGAAAGUAAGAGGAGGGUACAGAAGGUUGUGCCUUCUAGUUUCAUCCAUCUCAUGAUCAUCAAAAGGAAUCCAUUAACAAGGUUGAUCAAGUGUUGUUAACGAACUCAUUCCGAAUAAUAUGGAACCGGAGAAAUUUCAAAUAACACUAUGUUACCUCAACGGGGAUAUGCACAUCCCCAAUAAUAAGAAUAUCAUAUUUCUUCUUGACAGUAGGAAGAGGAAAUUUAAAACCUCCAAAUAUAAUCGAUGGAAUUUUUCCAAUAGAGUUGAUUCUAUGAACUUGAUGUUGUUUCCUCGGAAAGUGUACCGUAUGCUCAUUACCAUUAACAUGAAAAGUGACAUUGCCUUUAGUGCAAUCAAUAACAGCCCCUGCAGUAUUCAAAAAGGGUCUUCCAAGAAUAAUAGACAUACUAUCGCCCUCGGGAACAUCAAGAAUAACAAAGUCCGUUAAAAUAGUAAUGUUUGCAACUACAACAGGCACAUCCUCACAAAUACCGAUAGGUAUAGCAGUUGAUUUAUCAGCCAUUUGCAAAGAUAUUUCAGUAGGUGUCAACUUAUUUAAAUCGAGUCUACGAUAUAAAGAGACAUGCAUAACACUAACAGCGGCUCCAAGAUCACAUAAAACAGUUUUAACAUAAUUUCUUUUAAUGGAACAUGGUAUAGUGGGUACUACCGGAUCUCCAAGUUUCUUUGGUAUUCCACCCUUAAAAGUAUAAUUAGCAAGCAUGGUGGAAAUUUCAGCUUCCGAUAUCUUUCUUUAAUUUGUAACAAUAUCUUUCAUAUACUUAGCAUAACUAUUCAUUUUGAGCAUAUCAGUUAAUCGCAUACGCAAAAAGAUAAAGGUCUAAUCAUUUCAGCAAAGCACUCAAAAUCCUCAUCAUCCUUUUUCUUUAAUGGUUUGGGAGGAAAAGGCAUGGGUUUCUGAACCCAAGGCUCUCUUUCCCUACAGUGUUUCCUAGCAACAAAGUCUUUCUUAUCAUAACAUUGAUUCUUUGAUUGUGGGUUAUCAAGAUCAACAACAGGUUCAAUUUCUAUAUCAUUAUCAUUGCUAAGUUGAGCAUCAUCAUGAACAUUAUCAUUAACAUUAUCACUAGUUUCAGGUUCAUUACCAGAUUGUGUUUCAGCAUCAGAGAUAGAAAUAUCAUUUGGAUUCUCAGGUGUUUCGGUAAUAGGUUCACUAGAAGCAUGCAAAGUGAUAGAGGCGAGGGUCCCGAUCUUUCGAUGAGACGAUAACUAUCGAUUUGGUGGAGACGACUUUGACGAUCCGACUACAAACGUGCAUGACGUUGCGCCUUAGCAACCGCUAAACCAAUCUCCUGAGGUUACUGACGAUGCUGGAAGCACGGUCAACCUGACCACGAAGGUCUAUUCCUGCAAGCAAUCAAAGAACAAGCAAGAAUAUGAUAAAGCAAUCUGAAUAUUGCGAGUAUAUAUGAAGUAUUGAUAAAGGUGGGGAUCCGUAAGCGGUCUUGGUCUGGUCGUUGGACACAAACGAAGUACACGAAGUUGCUAUGGCUAACUUUUAACUAAACAAAUCCCCAGAAAAAAGCUACUAGAUGAAUCUACUUAUAUAGGAGCAAGGGGUGGCGGCCAAGGAGGUGGGAGGACGUCCCAAGGCAGCCUAAAACUAACCCUAGGUCGUACAAGGCUCAUGGGUCCAAGUGGAGGUGAUGCAACACCUUUGGGCUUGUAAUUUGACUCGGAUUCUGCUGUAAUGUCAGAUUGUUUCGUCCGUAACUCAACGCUUCGGACGAAUUUGAAGGUGAAUCCAAUUGGGUUGGAAAGAGCAUGAAAUCUAGUUUCCAACAAAAAAAGAAUCACCCAAUUCAGAGUCCGUAUGAAAAAGUUGUUGGCGUUUUGAGUCAGGUAUGUCUGUGCAGUCCGAAUCUGAAUCCAGAACGUGAGAGACUUGGACUCUAUCUUCUCUUGGCCCAAAAGUGACGUGAGAGGACUUUUUGAACACAACCUAAACUUCUCCUUUUCCCUUAUCUUCAUAUGUGGAUUGUACAAAUGUCCCAUACACCUGCAAUUAGACAAAACACAAAAGUGUGUGAAGUAUUUUUGUUCUGGAUAACAUAAAUAGAUUAUUGAAUAGUUUGCAUUAAAAUCACCUGACAAAUAUGUAUGUAUGCAAUAUUUUUGGUCGUAUCCAAGGUAGUCAUGUCCUCAUCAUCCUCCCCUUUUUGAAAACAAAGCCGUCCUCGGCGUUGCUUAAUCUGAAAUGUGGUUAACAAAAGAGACAAGGUGUACAUGUUGUAUAUGUAUAUGUCAUCCAGUUUAACUUCCCUUGAUUUUUGCACGUAUGACACAUGUAUACAUGAGUAACUUUCAUAGUUCAUAAAAACUAAAGCCAAAAAAUUAUCACAAGAAGUAGAAGGCAUGAAAAUAUUAGAACUCAGUUUGCACAUAUAAGUGAAGCUCUUAUUCAUUUCAAAAGAUUCGCAAUGUUCAUCAUUAAACCAUCCCAACUUUGGUGAAUAAACCUUACUUGCAUCAAAUUUACAUGCUACAACAUGCUUAAAUAAGCAAACAUGCAAUAAGUCAUUGGACACAGAAUCAUCACCAAGAUUGGAGGCCAUAUCAAAAUGAUUAAACAUUAGUUCUUUUGCAUCAACAGUUAAUUCAGUGGGUGCACUCAAAAUUGUUGAUAUUUCAGUUGUUUGAUCACAUGACGCAUUCAUGACAGUAACAAGAUUCUCUAAAUAGGUGGUGUGCUCAAAUCAACAGGUAACUCAAUACAUGACACAUUCAAGUUAACUAGGCAUGCAUCAUUCUCAUGUGAAGUUAUAUCAUCAAUACCUUUACUGUUACCUUGUGGCAAAGAUGUAGCUGAUGUAGGUACGAACGUUGACAAUGUACCAUACCCUUGAGAUGAUGCCGCGCUCAUAAUCUGAGGUGCAAUGAUGGAGGAACCCACCGGCGGUGGUGAGCAUGAACUGAAAUAGUAGUUGUUGUAGUCACCUAAUGCAUCCUCCUGUAUCUGUCUCUCAAAGGUACAAGCACGGACAUACAUAUCAGUAAUGCAACAAGGAAUAUACUGAAAUCUUGCCUGAAUAUCAUGGUUCAAACCACCAAAAAAUCUAUUCAUUGUAUCAUUCUCAGAUUCUUCUAUGUCACAAUGAUGCAUAUAAGAUUUGAACUCUUGGUAGUAAGCAUGAACAGUGUUGUUGCCUUGUUUAAAUUGUUCAAAUUUGCGAAGCAAUUCACGAUGAUAAUAAGGAGGGAAAAAUUGUUGUCUCAUUACAGCUUUCAAAACUUUCCAAGUUGUGGGUUGGUUAUCAAUGUUUUUCUUACAAUGUACACUCCACCAAACAGAAGCAAAAUCAGUAAAUGCUCUAGUGGCUGCUCGCACUCGCUCAAGUUCAUAAAAGUCAUGGUGACUAAAAGCUUGUUCUACUUCAAGCUCACAAGCUAGAUAAGUAGUAGGAUUAAAUCUGCCCUCAAAUGACGGUAAAAAGAUAACCUGACCAUGUGCUUGUGUGUGUUGUCCCAACUCUCGUGAUGGUGAAGAUGUGUUUGUCGUCUAAGAACUUCUAUCUUCGGAACCUGUCAUGAUUAGUAGAAACAAGAAACAAAAUUCAAGAAUAAUGUUCCUAUGAACUACUAGGGUGUGGUGGUAAAGCGCCCACAGUAAAGCAAAUAUCAAUAUCUUACAAGUUCUUACCAAGCAGCAGAUGGUGACAGGCAACCAGCGGUGUCAAAUAACUCCGAAGAUUGUGUAAAGUGAUUGCCAGGGGAACGUGCGUAUACACGGUUUAGAAAUAUGUGGAGCUGGGUUGGCUAUAUAUGGUAGCAAAAGAUUAGCAAUAAUCAAUUCAGAGAUGCAAUGUUGAAUAAACGCUCAAUGAUGGUACUGUGCUGGUCCUAGGCUAGACCGAACUAGAGACGCGAGCCUAGAACACUAAUGAGGUCACGUCGUAGCACAACUAGCAUCAAUGAAGGAUACUAAGUAGCUCUGGACAGCAAGAUAUAAGUAAAGAUCACAACGGCAGUAAAGAUAAUGAUGUGAAACAACAGCCAAGAAGGAUAUAUCAACAACUUUGUCUCCAACUUUCCUUUAAAAAAGUUUGUGCCGAUUUUUUUGAUUUUUUUUCAAGAAUGGUAUUGACUCAAGCUUUCAAACACAAAAGGAAUCACUCAAUUUCGAGUUGAUAUGAGGAGUUAAAAAAUUCGAAAACUGGCCUGAAAAACUGAAAUAAGCUGUGUUCAAGAACUUCGGAGGGCAAAAAGACCUAUUUAGAAGCCGAUUUUGAGGUGCCAAAUAUUGAACUAGCUUCUUCAACUAUUUAGAUGCGGCUCGUCGCUAGCUUUCGUUUGAGUACUCGCGGAGGCAAAACGGACUUCGUAUGAGGAAGUUAUGUCUGUUUUACUGAACAGUGCACAAAACAGAUUCCAAUCCGAAUUCAACUACGAGAUUGAGCCUAAAAAGAUCCGAAUUUUGUUUUUUUUCUUCUCUUUUUUUUCCUCACACUUUUUUUUCUUUCUCUCCUUUUUUUCUCUGACUUUUUUUCUCUUUUUUUCUCUCAUUUUUUUCUCUCUUUUUUUCUCCCUCUUUCCAAAACAAACUAGAUAAGAUGCAGAUUGGAUCAAGCGAAGAUGUGAACGAGAUCAACUAUUAUUAUGACAAUGAAUGGUGGGUAGCACGUGGUGGAAAUUGAUGGAUGGGUGGUGGACAGCGAAAGAGAUAAUGAUGCAGCGGUGGCGUGACUAAUGUGAACAGAACUCGAAACUCUAAACGAACUAGACACUAAGACCAGCAACUCGACACGAUGAUGUAACCGAUAAUUCAACUAUGCAAGCAAUGAAAAGAAAAUUGCAAAGGCCCAGACUGGCUUGGACCAAGGUUGAAUAGAUCUAACUCUUUUUUGUGCCUUUUCCUUGGACAAUAGGUAAGAAAAAAAAUCUAAUCUAGGAAAACUGGAAAUUCUCACCGAGCAACCUGAAAACUGAUACCACUUGAUAGAGGCGAGGGUCCCGAUCUUUCGAUGAGACGAUAACUAUCGAUUUGGUGGAGACGACUUUGACGAUCCGACUACAAACGUGCAUGACGUUGCGCCUUAGCAACCGCUAAACCAAUCUCCUGAGGUUACUGACGAUGCUGGAAGCACGGUCAACCUGACCACGAAGGUCUAUUCCUGCAAGCAAUCAAAGAACAAGCAAGAAUAUGAUAAAGCAAUCUAAAUAUUGCGAGUAUAUAUGAAGUAUUGAUAAAGGUGGGGAUCCGUAAGCGGUCUUGGUCUGGUCGUUGGACACAAACGAAGUACACGAAGUUGCUAUGGCUAACUUUUAACUAAACAAAUCCCCAGGAAAAAGCUACUAGAUGGAUCUACUUAUAUAGGAGCAAGGGGUGGCGGCCAAGGAGGUGGGAGGACGUCCCAAGGCAGCCUAAAACUAACCCUAGGUCGUACAAGUCUCAUGGGCCCAAGUGGAGGUGAUGCAACACCUUUGGGCUUGUAGUUUGACUCGGAUUCUGCUGUAAUGUCAGAUUGUUUCGUCCGUAACUCAACGCUUCGGAUGAAUUUGAAGGUGAAUCCAAUUGGGUUGGAAAGAGCACGAAAUCUAGUUUCCAAUAAAAAAAGAAUCACCCAAUUCAGAGUCCGUAUGAAAAAGUUGUUGGCGUUUUGAGUCAGGUAUGUCUGUGCAGUCCGAAUCUGAAUCCAGAACGUGAGAGACUUGGACUCUAUCUUCUCUUGGCCCAAAAGUGACGUGAGAGGACUUUUUGAACACAACCUAAACUUCUCCUUUUCCCUUAUCUUCAUAUAUUGAUUGUACAAAUGUCCCAUACACCUGCAAUUAGACAAAACACAAAAGUGUGUGAAGUAUUUUUGUUAUGGAUAACAUAAAUAGAUUAUUGAAUAGUUUGCAUUACAAAUCACCUGACAAAUAUGCAUGCAUGCAAUAUUUUUGGUCGUAUCCAAGGUAGUCAUGUCCUCAUCACAAAGUCCUAUCAUUUUUCUUUUUCUUCCUAUUAGAAGGACUAGGUGCAUCCACAUUAUUUCUAUGAGAAUCUUGCUCAAUUCUCUUAGGGUGGCCUUCAGGAUACAAAGGUUCCUGAGUUAUUCUACCACCUCUAGUCAUAACUCUAACAAUGUUAUCAUUAUUCUUACUAUUCAAUUCAUUGAUCAAAUAAUUUUGAGCUUUAAGUACUUGUUCUACUCGAGUGGUAACCAUAGAAGCAUGUUUACUAAUAAGUUUAAGUUCACCUUUGACAUUAGCCAUAUAAUUACCCAAGUGUUCAAGCAUAUCUGAAUUGUAUUUCAAUUGUCUACCAAAAUAAGCAUAACAAUCUUCUUGCUUAACCAUAAAUUUAUCAAGCUCAUAUAAGCAUGGGCUAGCAAAUUUAGUAAACGGGAUUUCAUCUUUAUCAUGUCUAUAGAGAGAAUUUACCUUUACUACCUGUGUCGGGUUAUCAAGACCAUGAGUUUCUUCAAUAGGAGAUGUAUUAAGGUCAUAUGUUUCUUCAACACGCGGUAAAUUAAGAUCGUGUAUUUCUUCAAUAGGAUGUAAAUUCUUAACAUCUUCGGCUUUAAUACCUUUUUCUUUCAUAGAUUUCUUUGCCUCUUGCAUAUCUUCAUGACUGAGAAAUAGAACACCUAUCUUCUUCGGAGUUGGUUUAGGAAUAGGCUCAGGAAGUGUCCAAUUAUUUUCAUUUGUCAACAUAUUAUUCAAUAGAAUUUCAGCUUCAUCCUGUGUUCUUUCCCUGAAAACAGAACCAGCACAACUAUCCAGGUAAUCUCUAGAGGCAUCGGUUAGUCCAUUAUAAGAGAUAUCAAGUAUUUCAUUUUUCUUAAGAGGAUGACCAGGCAAAUCAUUAAGUAAUUGGAGAAGCCUCCCCCAAGCUUGUGGGAGACUCUCUUCUUCAAUUUGCACAAAAUUAUAUAUAUCCCUUAAAGCAGCUUGUUUCUUAUGAGCAGGGAAAUAUUUAGCAGAGAAGUAAUAAAUCAUAUCCUGGGGACUAUGCACACAACCAGGAUCAAGAGAAUUAAACCAUAUCUUAGCAUCACCCUUUAAUGAGAACAGAAAUAUUUUAAGGAUAUAAAAGUAACGAGUUCUCUCAUCAUUAGUUAAUAGGGUGGCUAUAUCAUUUAAUUUAGUAAGAUGUGCCACAACAGUUUCAGAUUCAUAGCCAUGAAAAGGAUCAGAUUCAACCAAAGUAAUUAUAUCAGGAUCAACAGAGAAUUCAUAAUCCUUAUCAGUAACAAAGAUAAGUGAAGUAGCAAAAGUAGGGUCAGGUUUCAUCCUAGCAUUUAGAGAUUGCUUAUUCCAUUUAACUAAUAACCUCUUAAGUUCAUAACUAUCUUUGCAAGCUAAAAUAGCUAAAGAAGCUUCUUUAUCAAAAACAUAACCCUUAGGAAUAACGGGCAAGUCUUCAUCAUCACUUUCAUCAAUAUUAUCAGAUUCAAUAUUUUCAUUCUCUCUAACCCUAGCAAGUUGUUCAUCAAGAAAUUCACGAAGUGGCACAGUAGUAUCAAGCAUAGAAGUAGUUUCAUCAUAAGUAUCAUGCAUAGCAGAAGUGGCAUCAUCAAUAACAUGUGACAUAUCAGAACGAAUAGUAGAAGCGGGUUUAGGUGUCGCAAGCUUACUCAAAACAGAAGGUGAAUCAAGUGCAGAGCUAGAUGGCAGUUCCUUACCUCCCCUCGUAGUUGAGGGAUAAAUCUUGGUUUUUGGAUCUCUCAAGUUCUUCAUAAUGAUAAGCAGAUAUAAAUCCCAAGUGACUCAAAGAAUAGAGCUAUGCUCCCCAGCAACGGUGCCAGAAAAUAGUCUGGAUAACCCACAAGUAUAGGGGAUCACAACAGUUUUCGAGGGUAGAGUAUUCAACCCAAAUUUAUUGAUUCGACACAAGGGGAGCCAAAGAAUAUUCUCAAGUAUUAGCAGUUGAGUUGUCAAUUCAACCACACCUAGAAACUUAAUAUCUGCAGCAAAGUAUUUAGUAGCAAAGUAAUAUGAUAGUAGUGGUAACGGUAGCAAAAGGUAACGGUAGCAAAAGUAAUGUUUUUUGGUAUUUUGUAGUGAUGAUAGCAAUAGCAACGGAAAAGUAAAUAAGCGAAGAACAAUAUAUGGAAAGCUUGUAGGCAAUGGAUCGGUGAUGGAGAAUUAUGCCGGAUGCGGUUCAUCAUGUAACAAUCAUAACAUAGGGUGACACAGAACUAGCUCCAAUUCAUCAAUCCAAUGUAGGCAUGUAUUUCGAAUAUAGUCAUACGUGCUUAUGGAAAAGAACUUGCAUGACAUCUUUUGUCCUACCCUCCCGUGGCAGCGGGGUCCUAAUGGAAACUAAGGGAUAUUAAGGCCUCCUUUUAACAGAGUACCGGACCAAAGCAUUAACACAUAGUGAAUACAUGAACUCCUCAAACUACGGUCAUCACCGGGAGUGGUCCCGAUUAUUGUCACUUCGGGGUUGUCGGAUCAUAACACAUAGUAGGUGACUAUAUACUUGCAAGAUAGGAUCAAGAACUCACAUAUAUUCAUGAAAACAUAAUAGGUUCAGACCUGAAAUCAUGGCACUCGGGCCCUAGUGACAAGCAUUAAGCAUAGCAAAGUCAUAGCAACAUCAAUCUCAGAACAUAAUGGAUACUAGGGAUCAAACCCUAACAAAAUUAACUCGAUUACAUGAUAGAUCUCAUCCAACCCAUCACCGUCUAGCAAGCCUACGAUGGAAUUACUCACGCACGGCGAUGAGCAUCAUGAAAUUGGUGAUGGAGGAGGGUUCAUGAUGACGAUGGCGAUAGAUUCCCCUCUCCGAAGCCCCGAACGGACUCCAGAUUAGCCCUCCCAAGAGGUUUUAGGGUUUGGCGGCGGCUCCGUAUCGUAAAACGCGAUGAAUUCUGUAACAUCCCAAAAUUCUAAAUUUUGGAAUGUUAUAAUAAAUAGAUAGAUUGAUUGUUUGUUUGAUUGUUGUGUGAUUGAUUUAGUGAAAUUCGAAACCUUUUGAAAGUUAAAUGAGAGGGAAUAAAAGGACUUUCCCAAACUUUCAUUUUUGCAUUUAUGAUCUCCGGGAAUUCAAAUUCUUUUCACCACAAAACCCUGGAGAGAAGAUGACAUGACUUCUUCCAUUUAUUCAAAUGAAAAAGGGUUUUGAAAAGAUUUGAAUUUUAUUUGGAAAUAUUUCCAAUUCUGAAACUUUAUGCAACUCAAUGAUUUUCACGAGCGAAGAUAAAAUGACUUCUUCAAAACAUAUGAAAUAUGAGUUGGGAUUUUCAAAGGAUUCAAAGUCCUUUUGGAAAUUAUUUUUAAUUUGGAGUUAUUUGGUUUUAUUCAAAUUAUUUUUCUCCAAAAAUAAAAUACAUGGAAAAUAGGGUAACAUGAUUCCCUACAAUAGAAAAUUGAAGAGAAAUAAAUUUGAAUUCAUUUUGGUUUUUAAAAAAUGAUUUUUGUUGGAUUUUAUUAGACAAGUAGCACUCUUUGAAUUAUCUAAAUUUGUGUGAAUUUUAUUUAAUGCUAGGAAAAUGUUCACGCUGUAGACAAUAUUUUUCUGAAAUUUUUGAUAUAUUAUAUGCCUAUAGUUUAUUUUUUUGUGGUUAUUCGUAUUUUUGCUGUCAGUAAAAAAUGUUUUAAGAAAACCUUUCUCUUCGGGCCGACCAAACUGGGCCGCGCCCAGCCCAGCCGGCCCAGCGCACCGUCACCCUCGUGUACCCGAGCAGGACUACCGCCGGAGUCCGGCACCGACCUCGCCGCCUUUGCGCCUCGCCCAUGCAUCGCCCGCCCCCUCCCCUCCUUAAAAAGCGGCCCCGGGCCCUGCCUCUCUCCCUGCCGUGCCGCGCCGCCCCUCCCGCGUCGCGUCGCCGUCCCGCGCUGCAGAUCGCCACUCACCGCCGGCGAGAUCCGCCGCGCCGCCGCCGCAGCCGUCUCCUUGCUGCGCCGCUGCCCGCUAGNNNNNNNNNNNNNNNNNNNNNNNNNNNNNNNNNNNNNNNNNNNNNNNNNNNNNNNNNNNNNNNNNNNNNNNNNNNNNNNNNNNNNNNNNNNNNNNNNNNNNNNNNNNNNNNNNNNNNNNNNNNNNNNNNNNNNNNNNNNNNNNNNNNNNNNNNNNNNNNNNNNNNNNNNNNNNNNNNNNNNNNNNNNNNNNNNNNNNNNNNNNNNNNNNNNNNNNNNNNNNNNNNNNNNNNNNNNNNNNNNNNNNNNNNNNNNNNNNNNNNNNNNNNNNNNNNNNNNNNNNNNNNNNNNNNNNNNNNNNNNNNNNNNNNNNNNNNNNNNNNNNNNNNNNNNNNNNNNNNNNNNNNNNNNNNNNNNNNNNNNNNNNNNNNNNNNNNNNNNNNNNNNNNNNNNNNNNNNNNNNNNNNNNNNNNNNNNNNNNNNNNNNNNNNNNNNNNNNNNNNNNNNNNNNNNNNNNNNNNNNNNNNNNNNNNNGGAGCCGCCGUCUCGCCUCGCCCCGUUCGCCGGAGCCGCCGCACCAUCGUCCCGUCUCGCCGGAGUAACCACCCCAUCGCCGGUUUUGUCUUCGUGAACCGGUAUAAACCGUAAACCCGUUCGGUUUCUUUUCUUUAGCUCGGUUUAUUUCUUUUGAUCGGUUUUUCUUUUAGUUAGAUCUAAAUAGUGAAUGUUCGCUAGAUUAGGUCCUCACAGUGAAAGGAUUCGUCUGUUAGCGUUCUGCAACAAAUAUUCGGUAUUUAAGUUUUUCUUUUUCUGUUUUAAUUCCAGCCAGGGACCUAUCUGUGAAUUCUUUUCUUACAAAUUAGUCCCUCUGCUUCAAACGAUCACUACUUUUUACGCGUUUAUCCAAAUCCAACGAAACCAACGCCCACUUCUUCGUUCUGAUCCCCUCUAUCCAGUAAAACAACUUGAACAUAUUUUUGAAAGUUUUAAAAUUUGAAUUCAAACAGUUUUGUAUUUGAACUUUGUUUGAUCAUAACUUGAGUUUUAUAACUCCAUUUGAGUUGAUACUUUUUGCAAAUCGAAGCUCUUGACCUACACUUUCUGAUAAAGCCAAAUUCACAUAAUUUUGGUACUGUUAGAAAUUGUUUUAUGUUGCAAGAGUUAUUUGCUUGGUUUAGAAGUUUUCCGAAUCGUCUUCUUCGAUCUUUCUGAUCUGUUGAGUGAUUGCUUAUGUGUGGUUCUAUUGCUUGCGUACGAUAGAUUGACCGGAGUGUGACGAGUAGAUCUAUCAAGAGUUAUGAGUGCGAAUCAUGUUCAUCAACAUUGCAGGCAAGUUCACACUUUGAUCAUAUCCCUUUCAUACCCAGUUUUUAUGCAUUAGUUUCACCCUCAAACAUUGCAUGGUUAGGACUUGAUAACAUGUGGGUAUUGGGAAGUAGUUGAUGAGGUAGGAACCUAUUGCCCUGUUACUAUCAAACCCCUGGGAGUUACUAUUACGUUAUGCUUAUGCUGCUAUGCUAUGCUCGUAGACGUGGUUUGGGUGAGUGAAAUCCAUGACAGAUGUGAGGUUGUUAAUAAUGGUUUACUUAAGGUGGCAACUUUAACACAUAUCUGGGUGGAUUGAGGCACCUGGGUAUUCCAACGAUUGCCUGUUUUUCUUUAUGGACCGCCACCCAGGCUCAAAGGGAUCAUGAGAUUAUUCAUGCUAGAAACUUCCGUGUGCAGCCACAAGCUACUAUGGGCUCUAGCAUAGUUGAUUAAGUCGCGCGAACUCUUAUAGUGGUAGACUAGCAGAUGUAGGGGAAAGUAGGUGUAACGGUGUACCCGAUCGUAAGGUGCUAGCGCUUCUGAAAGACUAUGUCUCGGUCAUCCGUUUCUCAAACACCAUGUAGUGCAAGAAUCCCAACGGAGGAGAUCGAGUCUUGUGGGGAAAAGUGCGCAAACUCUGCAGAGUGUACAAACUAAUCAUGGUUAGCCGUGUCCCCGGUUAUGGACAAUCUUGAGUCUCUGGUACUUGGAUUAUAAUAUUGAUCUCAUCACGUUACUUAAAUAAUUUGUUGGGUUAUUGAUGUUAAUUUGGGAUUGAGUUGGAGGAACCUUCUCAAUAUUUUCAACCAACUUUGUAGUUAAAUAAAAUAUAUUCCUUGCAGUAGGAAAAAAUUGGCUUUUCGCAAAAACAUUAUAACCAUAGAGAUUUUCCACGAGCCAAAUAUGCAUGUAGUGAUAGUUAUUAUUCAUCAUUAUCCUAUGGUGUGAAUUUGCCAGUACAUUGAAUGUACUGACCCUCUGUGGCUGCAACGUCUCAUGUUGCAGGAUUUUUUACGACGAGUAAGUGAUACGUUAGGGUUACGAUUUCUACACUCAACUUUGCCGUUGGUGUUGAUGGGAAUCCACAACCUUGUUGUUACUUCCGUUAUUGGAUUGAGGUAAUAGUAUUUACGUUAUUUUAUACAUGUGAUUUACCUCUGUUAUAAAUCCUCGAGUACUGUGCGUGUCAGCAUACCGAUCCAGGGAUGACACUUAAGCACAAAGACUUGACCGUCUAAGGUCGGGUCGCUACAAGAUGGUAUCAGAGCACAUGUUGACUGUAGGACGUGACCCAAGAAAUUGGCAAGCCCAUAGGAAAGAUUUUCUCUACAACUUCAUUUUCAAAAGAUCUUUUACCUCUCUUCUCUUCUGAGCUUAUUCAAAUAUUCCCUUUUAGUGAGACCAUACCCUUUUUUCCCUUUUGACCACACGAAGAUUCAGCUGAUGAGAUCACUCCAAGAAGUACAAGAUAUUGGAUAGCUAGGACCACUUUGGAAUGAAGAGGAUUUUUCUAUGCUUUAUAAAAUGGAAACUACAACAGUUAAAGACUCCGAAGACUAGGAGAAUUUGAAGGCUCUAAAGAAUUCCCAGAUUUGUAAGACCUAGGAAGGCUACCCUUAUUGAACUUGGCAGACUAAGGAAGCUGUCAAUACCCGUGAUCAAGGUGUAUCGGAGAAAGACCGGAACAUGGAGCAACCCAAAGUUUUUGUCAAGAAAACCCGAAGACAGGAGAUAUCAAUUAUGGAAUGAAAGCUCAUGGCAGUAACAUGGGCAGAAACAUGGCUAUCCAUGAUGUUAUCACCCACUUAUGCUAUUAUCACCAUGCUGAGUUAAGCAUGCUUAUGCAUGGAAGGAUUGGAUGGUAGAAGGCUGAUGGAGCACCUAUUAGCAAAAGAUGAAGUUUUAACCUUAGCUGGUGUAUCGCCAGAAUCUGGAGUAAUACAUCAAGAAGUUUAAGAUGGACUUGUAGGAAGUCAUAUUUGACAAGGAGGCCAUUCGUGAAGAACUCAGGAACCAAAAACUGAAAGUAGCCAAGCUGGAGGAGCUACAACCUCGAGAUACCGAAGAUUUGUCAGGAACUGAGGGACAGUAGGACCAUGGCUCAUGCCAAGGAUGUUGAAACCCAGAAGUUUGGAACACAACUCUAGAAAUAUUGAAGGACGUCAUGAGAGACUUCGUGUCAACAGACAUGAUCUGGCAAAAGAACUUGAGAAGGACAAGCACAAUCGAAAGAAGCCAUUAGAGACAUGAACAAGACUCGUAGAGCUUGAUGACUUUGAAGAUUUAUUGACCUUUAGAAGACCCAACCCCUGUUAUAUGCCUAUGUUAGAUGCGACGAUUGUGAGCUGUCAUUUGUUUGAUGUUUUUCGACAGCCACAACAAAAAUCUGUCUUUUCAAAACUGUUGUUUGUAUUGUGUGUAUCCCUCUCCCUCCCUCUCAUCUCACCCCAAACCCAUGGACCCAAUAGAGGACGAAUGGAGAUGAACUCAUGUUUCCCUGGACCGAUAAGUCAAUUGGAGAUGGACCAAUGGAUUCAGAACAUGGAGGAUCAUAUGAAGAAUAACCCUAUAGUUGGAAAGGAUAUGACCCAGCAUGCUCUUCAGUGCUUUGAAAGAGGUGCUGCUACUUGGUGGAGGAUGUACCAAACCAUCAAUGGGUGGCAAGGAGUAACCACUUGGAAAGAAUUUAAGUUGACUUUGCCAAAGUCUCGGUUUGUGUCCUAGAAGUUGAAGCCUUAUGGAAAGGAUAUGAAGAAACCUUGUGCAUGCAAGAUUUGUGGAGAAAUAGGACACACCCAUAAAGAACACAAGGAUGAAUGUCCUAAUUGUGAAGGAAGUCACCCAGUUGAAGAAUGCCCAACUAGGCAGAUUACUUGUUUCUUGUGUGAAGGUACUACCCACUAUCCUGCUCAGUGUCACAUUUACCCCAUGGUACAACAAACCAUCCAGCAGAAGAAAGAAGUAAUGAAAGGAUCCCUCAUGGAAAUUUUAGAAGAAACUAUGAUGAAGGAAGAGGUGGAGGACACACCUAAAGAAGACCCGAGUAAACCCUGCACUAAGUCUUGCUAUUCAUGUGGAGAAGAAGGACACAUCUCCCAGAAUUGUAUGAAUGGGGAUCUAGUAGAAUUCCGUACGGAGGAACUAUAAUAUGACCCACAAGAAAUAGAAGCCAUGAUUGGCAUGGAAAGGUCCAGGAAGAGAAGAAGAUUGGAUUCCAGGAAGGACCUGAGUCAUAUCACCUGUUACAGGUGCAAGGAGUCAGGGCACUACCUCAGCAGUUGCCCAAAAAGGAAACCUCGAGACUUGUCAGAAAUAGUAUGUUUUCGUUGUAAGGGAGCAGGGCACUUUGCCAGAGAAUGCCCCAAGGAGAAGGAGACUUUUUCUAGAUAGUUGAGUUUGCAACAGAAGAAAUGGAGUAGUAGAAGUGAGAACAUUUUCUUUUAUUUCGAGGUGUUGAGUUGAGAUUGUAAUCAAUUGAGAGUGAAUAAACUUAGCAUUGUUGGUACUGAUAUGGAUUUUAUGAGUUGUUACUCUAUGAAGAAAGAUUUUGACCAUUUUUGAGGAUAUAAGAAAUAUGGUCUAUGGAAGAUUUAUGCAUUUUAAGGGUGGUAGUACCCUGUAAGAACCCUUGACCCCUGGAAAAGAUAAGGAUACUCCACUGAGUGGAUUUCGGACAAAAUGACUACGAGUUUGUCUCGAUAUGUGUGAUACCCCAAGAGCAUGUGGGAUGAAGUUGGAGACCAUCAGUUGUUUGGACCAAAUGUGAUCAAGGAGUCAGGAGAUAAUGUUAAGUUGAUUCGAGAUAGACUGAAGGUAGGCCAGUCCAGGCAGAAGAGUUAUGCAGACUCAAAAACUCAAGGAGGUAGUCUAUGAGAUUGGAGACAGAGCAUGUCUUCGUCCCCUCUACGAGGAGUUAAACAAUUUGUAGUUAAGGGAAAGUUAGCCCCGAGAUUUGUAGGACCAUACCGAGUUUUGGAGCGUAUGGAAGAAGUGGCCAACAAGUUGGAGUCACCCGAAGGACUGUCAGGAGCUCAUGAUAUGUUUCACGUUACACAGUUGAAGAAGUGUCAUGCAGAGAUGGCCAAUAUUCCCCUGUAAGGAUGUUUGACCCCUGGAAGGGAUAAUGAUAUUCCACGGAGUGGACUUCAGACAAAAUAAGUAUAAGUUUUUAUCUCGGUAUGUGGGAUAACCCACGAGGAUGAAGAGAUGAAUUACUAUUGGAUAUAAAGGAGGUAUGAUGUUGGUAUUAUGGAACGAUAAUAACUCCAUGAUGAGUCUGAGUAAUCACGUCUUAGUUUGGAACCAAUAGAAAGAAGAAGGAUCGUACAAUUGGAUGGAUUUAAGCAUGCUAGAAAGCUGGAUGUUGGAAUAAUGACUAGUUGCCCCGAGGAUGAGUUCAAGGACUACAAGUGACGAGAUGGGCCAUAACCCACAGGCCCCAGGACCUGCCAAGAGGCAAGCACACUCUUGCUGAAGGAAAAACCGUGGAAGGAGUUACGACUUUAUCAACCGACGAUUUUAUAGGAAUUUACGCAAAACCUGAGAGUUGUGAAGGAACGAUAGAUGUUUCUUUGGCUUGCAGAAUUGAUAGAUUUAUCCGAACCUUGGUUCAUCGACAAGAGAAAUUCUGCAAUGCUUGUGAGGAUGACCAAGUGUUAGAGUGCGAGAUUCACUAAACCGUAUACCGGGUAAUGAUUUGGGUGCGGGAUGGAUUGAUCACCAUACCGACUUACUCUUAUUAUCCGCCUUGCUAUAUGGGAGGGUAAAUCUGAGAGACUUACCUAUAGUAGAGAGACGACGAUCAAACCUUGUUUAAACCCUAGAAUGGUAUAAGAAUUUUUUUCCUUGUACACUGCAGCCUUUCCCAACCGUGGGUUAUACGGUGAGGAUCAACCCAGACCCAUUUCCUGCAGGAGAAACCAUAAAUUGUUGACCACCAUGAGAUAUUGAUAGUUGUUUAGUAUUGGCGCCAGACCCGUCAGCACAGAAGACCCAGUCUCGGAAUAACCCUACCAAGAAGAAAGGAUGCAGAAGAAUUGAGGAAAAGGUUAUGCCACUACCGGAAGAGUCAGGGAAGGAAUUAUACUGAAGAUCUGAGAAGACCGGCCCUGUCAAGAAUAAGGAUGGUGUAUAUGAGUGUUGAUGGGACCGUAACGAUGUUUCUAAGGGUGGUAGCACCCCAAACCCCGGUGAUGAUUGAUGGAUUUUGAGGAGACCCCCAAACCCUAACCUUUUCUUGCUAGCCUCUCCGAAUCUCGAGGACGAGAUUCAUUUUAAGGGUGGUAGGUUUGUAACAUCCCAAAAUUCUAAAUUUUGGAAUGUUAUAAUAAAUAGAUAGAUAGAUUGUUUGUUUGAUUGUGGUGUGAUUGAUUGAGUGAAAUUCGAAACCUUUUGAAAGUUAAAUGAGAGGGAAUAAAAGGACUUUCCCAAACUUUCAUUUUUGCAUUUAUGAUCUCCGUGAAUUCAAAUUCUUUUCACCACAAAACCCUGGAGAGAAGAUGACAUGACUUCUUCCAUUUAUUCAAAUGAAAAAGGGUUUUGAAAAGAUUUGAAUUUUAUUUGGAAAUAUUUCCAAUUCUGAAACUUUAUGCAACUCAAUGAUUUUCACGAGCGAAGAUAAAAUGACUUCUUCAAAACAUAUGAAAUAUGAGUUGGGAGUUUCAAAUGAUCAAAUUCAAAGUCCUUUUGGAAAUUAUUUUUAAUUUGGAGUUAUUUGGGUUUUAUUCAAAUUAUUUUUCUCCAAAAAUAAAAUACAUGGAAAAUAGGGUAACAUGAUUCCCUACAAUAGAAAAUUGGAGAGAAAUAAAUUUGAAUUCAUUUUGUUUUUUUAAAUGAUUUUUGUUGGAUUUUAUUAGACCAGUAGCACUCUUUGAAAUAUCUAAAUUUGUGUGAAUUUUAUUUAAUGCUAGGAAACUGUUCAUGCUGUAGACAAUAUUUUUAUGAAUUUUUUUGUCACACCCUAGCUAGUUCAUGCAUUAGAGUGUUGCAUCAUGUCUAUCCUUUCAUCAGAAACUUGAAAUGGGGAUGUCAGAACCCCCAGCCCCCUCUGAAACCAACCAGGGUUUACUAAAAACUUUUUCAAUGAACCUGAAAUGCCCUUCUAAAAUGUCCAUCAUUUUUGUCUUGGUUCAGAACCUCUGCCAAAAGUGUUGCACAAUUUUCUAGGUCAUUUUAGGGUCUUUGAAUUAAAUGAUAAGUAUUUGAAUUUGGGCAUUUAAAAUUAUAUAAAAUAUUUCAAAUGCUCAAAUAUUCCUAAACUGAAAUGUUUCAUGUUGGAAAUAUUCUAACUUUGGACCAGGAGCAGUUUGGUGAUUUUAGGAGUUGCCUAGGUAUUUUUUAUAAUUCAACAAAGUUGCAGAAAAAUAGAAAAAAAAAGAGACAGAAAGGAAGGACUUACCUGGCGCCUGCAACCCGGCCCACCUGCCGGCCCAGCCCAGCGCCGCGCCAGCGAGCUGCUUGCCGGCCAGCCAGGCAGGCAGGUGCUCGAUGGCGAGCACCGCAUGGGUGCCACGCACCUGCUCGCCGCCUCGCCGCUCCACUCGGCCGGCUAACGACGUGGAUCGCUCCCCCUCGCUCUCCCGAACCCUCCAGACACCUCCUCUCCUCUCCAGCUCCUCCCCCUCGCGCUCCCCAGCCAUGGCCGACGCCACCGCCGCCGCUCCAUCAUCGUAGCCGCGCUCCCCGCCGCCCGUGCUCCGUCUCGUGGUGUCCAGGAGCUCCGCCGCCGUCCACUUCGUCGAGCUAACCGAGCCCCGCGUGCUCGUGAGGCCCGAGUCCACCGCACCGACCCCGCCUGAGUUCGCCGUCGCCGGAGAUCCCCUUCAACGCCGUCACCGCAUCAGCUCGUCCCCGACCCCGCUGGUGGCCUCUACGGGUGCUCUGUGAGCCUAGCUACCCCUCCUACCCUUCCUCUCUCACCCCCGAGCCGUGUAGCCACCGCACGAAGAUCACCCGCACGCACCGCCGCGGAUCUCGUCGCCGACGUGCUCCCGGUCAUCCUCCGGCCAACUCACGGUGUCCAACGCACUCACCACGUUGCGUUGAGUCCAAUCGUGCACUUCCCGCACCUCACCGCACACCCUAGCCCCGAGUUCACCUUCACCCGAACUCCGGUGAUCGCCUAGGUCGUCGCCGGCGCCAACUCCGGUCACCCCGACCUCAACUCGCUCCACCAAGAGCUGCGGUUCGUCCCCAGCUCCACGUAGAUGCAUUCCGCGCCCCAUUUGGUGGCCGGAACGGCCAAAACCACUUCCGCCGCCGCGUCGGGCUCGCCGGCGGCUAAACACCGGUGCAGCCGUUUUGACUUUGACCACGGGUGGGCCCUGGUUGACUCUGUUGAGUCAGUGACAGGUGGGGCCCCCUUCUGCUAAUCAUCCAGAUUAGUUUAAACUAAAUUAAAUUAGUUAAUUAUCCACUGACACCCUGGACCCACGCGUCAGGUUUGACCUGGACCGGGUCUGUUGACUUGCUGAGGUCAGCAUGACCUCAUGCUGACGCAGUAAACCUUUUCUGAGUUUAAAAUAAAUCUAAAAUGAUUUAUAAAUUCCAGAAAUUGUUGCAAACUUCAAAAAUCCAUAUAAAUUCAACCGUAGCUCCAAAUCAAACAAAUUAUAUAUGAAAAAUGAUCAGAAAAAUCCAAUCUAUCCAUCUGUACUAGUUUCAUGCAUGUUUAAACAAACUAACUUGAGGUCUAGUGCAGAACAAGAUAAAACACUUUAAAGGGCCAUUUAUGAGUUUGAAAUUUGAAUCUUUGGUUCAAAUUGAUUCAAACCCAUCUGGUUUUAGUUGCAUUAGCCCAACACAAUCAUAUUGCCAUGUUUCAUGCAUGCAUCAUAUUGUCGCACAUUGUUUGGUGAUGGUUGUGUAUCGGUGUUCUUUGCGGCAGGUUCUGCCUCCGAGGAGUACCGUGAUUACCCUAGCGAAGAACCGUAUCCGUGCAUCGAUCCAUCAGGCAAGCAACCAACCAUUUGAUCAUAUCGAUACAAUCCCAUGUUCUCGCUCUUGCUCUCUUUUACUGCAUUAAGACAACGCGUUUUAAACUGCUGUGUGCUACGGUAGUUGAACCCAUUUCCUCUGCAUGACCUGUCAUUGCCACAGUAAUUAGAUGAAACCCACUAGCAUGUGUAGGAAUUGAUUGAGCCAUAUGUUUGUGUUGUUCCUACCUUGCUAUGCCUGCUAUGCUUAGAGUCGUGUCAGGUCUGGUUCAUCUGGGUGAUGGCUAGAGUGAAAUGAUCAUGUCGGUAAUGAGAGUGAUGUGGUGAACACGAUUUGGUAAAGGUAUCGAUGAGAGGCCAUGUAGGAGUACAUGGUGGGUUGUUUCAUUGAAGCCGACCUUAAGAACUGAGAUCUGUAUGCCUGAUUUAAGAUUCAGCUACUACCAUGCAUUGGGCCCUGAAAUAUGACCCCGCUCGACUUCUUAUUCACCCUAGUCCUCUGUCUAGGAGUUGCAAGUAGUUUCUGGUGUUUGUAGCUUACUGGAGGCCGUGGACAGCACUGACCCGCGGGAUGGGCUGUGAUGCGGUAGGUACGUGGCACGGUGUAUCGAAUACCCGUUAGGUAUCUUGGGAACCCUGUACACAUCGUUCGGGGACGUAUGGGAAACCUCGGCCGGACUCCCUGCGGAUGGAACCUGGAUAGGCGAUAAACCUGGACUAGAUACUUAGGUGUUUAGGUAGGUCGUGGUCUACACCCACGCCGGCUUUCGCUUGAAGUCUGCCGAGCACAUGUCGUGUGCAGACGCUAAGUGGUGGAAACAUGUAUGAAGAAGUACACCCCUGCAGGGUUAACAUGAUCUAUUCGAAUAGCCGCGUCCGCGGUAAAGUACUACUUGGUUGCUUAUACAGUUCAUAGACAAGUGAAUGGAUACUACUAAAAAUCUCAAGAUAAGCGUGAGUGCCGAGGAUGGCCCUUCCGUAGGAUGACGGAGGUGGAUCCUCGGUGGUGUAUUGAAGUGGUGAGUAGUGGACUCGUGUGCGCAAAACCAUUUCAAGUUGGAGUCUCGUAGGAUAGUUUAGCCAAGAGUCAAAGCUGGCUUGCUGCAAUAACCCCACCAACCCUUCUUGAUAAUGUGCAUGUAUGUAGGAUCUGACGUAAGUCUUGCUGGGUACCUUUGUACUCAUGUUGCUAUAAUUUACAUUUUACAGAAGGCGCUGCAACCCCUUCUGAUGGGUUCUUCGUAGACGUUGACAUCGACGAGUAGACUAAGGCCCAGGUGGUAAUCCUGAGCUUGUGAAGGUCCACGUAGUAUAGCUAGGCUUUCCAAGCCUCUUUUAUUUUACUAGUUGUCUGUACUCAGACAAGUUACUUCCGCUGCUGGUUUGUAUGAUGGUAUGACUUGAAUGUGGGUCGUGUGACCCGUACUUGUAUGUAUGUUAUGUAUGGCUCUCUGAGCCUUUAGAUAAAGUACUUGUGUCGUAGAGUCAUGUUGUGAUGCCUUGUUGUAUUUGCACAUAUCGAGCAUAUUGUGUGUAUGAUUGAAAUGCUUGGUAUGUGUGGGAUCUGACUAUCUAGUUGUUUAUCUUUAGUAGCCUCUCUUACCGGGAAAUGCUCCUAGUGUUUCCAUUGAGCCAUGGUAGCUUGCUACUGCUCCGGAACACUUAGGCUGGCCGGCAUGUGUCCUUCUUCGUUCCUGUGUCUGUCCCUUCGGGGAAAUGUCACGCAUUGAGUACCGGAGCCCUGUUAGCCCGCUACAGCCCGGUUUACCGGAGUCCUGCUAGCCCAAUGCUACAGCCCGGACCCACUUGCUGAUGACCGACACGUUCGAUGCUGGGUCAUGGAUGCCUGUCCCUGUAAGUCUGUGCCACUUUGGGUUUACGACUAGUCAUGUCAGCCCGGGCUCCUUAUCAUAUGGAUGCUAGCGACAUCAUCAUAUACGUGAGCCAAAAGGCGCAAACAGUCCCGGGCAAAGGUAAGGUGACGCCCGUGGGAAUACCGUGCAUGAGGCCGCAAAGUGAUAUGAGGUGUUACAGGCUAGAUCGAUGUGACAUUGAGUCGGGGUCCUGACAACGUUGGCAUCAGAGCCGGACUGCCUGUAGGUUUUCCAAGCCAAACUGGUCGAUGUUGAGUCUAGAAAUGCUUUAGUUAUAUGUAGGGGAAUUGAUUGUGGGAUGGUACGUAAGGCUCUUUUUACUUCUUUACUUCAUGGCAUUCUGAUCUGAGUCAGUCCAUUCUUCUACCGGGGAUUAAGGAUUAGGAUCUUCUCUCUCUAUCAGGUUCACGUGUUACGAAUCAGUAGUACCUUAUAGGUUUGAUGACUACAAGCCUAGUUCAGUUCUACUACCUUGUUAUGCUGAUAAGUGAACCCAGAACCUUGAUAUGAUAUUGUUGAGUGUCUAUGCAAUUUUUUGAUAAAUUUCUCAAACCCUUCUUGAGCAUUUACAGCCGUUAUGCUGUCGAAAUAUUGCUAGAAAUUCUAAUGCCUUUGCAUUAUGGUUGUGCUUUCAGAUGGCCACUCGCGACCAAAAUCAAGUGGUUCGCCUGACCCGAUGCAUUGGUGUGACCGGUCAUACGGCCAUGUUAGUCCGAGUGAUGAUCGAGACGGGUUACCGUUGGUAUCCCGAAUACACGGUCGAAGAGCAGUUUCGAGAUUUUAACCAAAGCCAGUAUCUUUGCACCGUCCGGAUAUUUCCCUCUUAUCCUGGUUCUACCGAGGCUCUUCACUGUUCCUAUGGGCUCGGUGUUACUAUUGAGAUGGCUAUGCAAGAUGCGGCUUAUUCUAUGAUGACCAUCAUGCGAGUCAGGACUGGCCUGCUUCGCAACACCGACUUCCGGUAUAUGCCGGCUUCACUUCCUGGAGCGCACGGUUAUCUCCGGGCUAUCUAUGCUGACCCCAGUCAGGAGGACUCACUAACUCGCACCACUGCUGAGUUGCUCGAGGAUAAGGACCGAGAGAAUCGGGCCUUGAGAAUGGAGCUUUUCAACACCUGCGCCGAUCAUUGGGCCACCUUGACUCGGUUUGCACCGGCUGUGCAAGCUGGAUGCAUGGAUAUGAGAGAUCUGUAUCCUGUUAGGUCUGCUCUGCCGGACAUGAUGGAUUGGCGUGAUGUGGGAGGCAUCACCCCACCUCGUGGUCCUCGCAGGCCACCGUUUGUUGGUCCAAGACCUCACCCUAGCCCUUUUGGUCCACAGGCUCCUCAGGACCAUUUGUUUCCGGAUGCUCACGUUGAACUUCCAGGCUAUGGAGGAGACUUCUAUGAGAACUACUACGGAGAUGACUGAGAUAGUAGUAGAUCCACUAGGUAUUGUAAUAGUUGUAUUUCCACCGUCCUGCGUGACUUGUGGAAUAUGACUUAGCGGGUAGUAAUUCCGGGGGUGUAGGAAAAAUAAUGUAUAGGAGCUUGGGAUGCCUCCGAUGAUAUGUAAUCCUCCUCUCACCAUAGUAGUACUUGUUUGUCUUGUACUAAACCUCGUAUGGUGUGUAUGACAAUGGAAUAAAAGAAGUAGUUUCUGUAUCUACCAUGUCAUACGGAUGAUCAUCUUGCAUUCUGAGUUGUCCAUUACAUUCUACAUUCUAUGUCGGAAUCUUGUCAUGUUGGACUAAACCAUUGUCUUGUUUUUCCUAGGAUGGUCAACACCCGCAACAACCCUGCUCCCCCAGAGCAGGCCGAAGGCAGCAGAGUUGGGGAUACAAAUCUGCCUCACCCUCCCUCUCUGGCAGAAGUUAUGCUAGAGGCUGAGAGAAACAAGCGGGAGACCAACCGUUUGUUGGAGCAUAUUGAACAGAACACAGCACACCAUCAGAGGACUAACUUGGUGUCACUCAGUGAUUUCAUCAAGUUACAUCCACCCACGUUCCACCACUCCGUCGAGCCUCUCGACGCUGAUGACUGGCUUUGCAGUAUUUCUCACAAACUGCGUUCUGCGCUAGUAGCUGAGGCUGACAAGGUCACCUUUGCUGCAUAUCAUCUUGAAGGCCCCGCCAGUCUCUGGUGGGAGAAUUAUGAAGCUAUGCGCCCAGCAGGCCACGUCACUACUUGGGCUGAAUUCAGCGAGGCUUUCCGUGAACAUCACAUUCCGGAGGGUCUCAUGGACCGUAAACGUGAGGAGUUCUGUAGUUUCACUCAAGGUCGACUCUCUGUUGACGCUUACAGCAGGGAGUUUGGUAACCUUGCCCGUUAUGCAACGGAGGAAGUUUCUACUGAUGCCAAGAAGCAGGCAAGGUUCCGUAAGGGGCUUAGUUCUGAGCUUCGCCGCGACCUCCGUCUGCAUGAGUGCACAUCUUUUCAGAAGCUUGUUAACAAAGCCAUCAGUGCUGAGACUGGUCAGACUGAUUAUGAAGCAACUUGGGAAAGGGAGGAUCGUCUUCGACUCGAGUAUCCCGCCUUCUUCCCGGAGGAACCCAAAUCUCGGGACGAGAUUCUUUUGAGCGGGGGUGAGUUGUCACACCCUAGCUAGUUCAUGCAUUAGAGUGUUGCAUCAUGUCUAUCCUUUCAUCAGAAACUUGAAAUGGGGAUGUCAGAACCCCCAGCCCCCUCUGAAACCAACCAGGGUUUACUAAAAACUUUUUCAAUGAACCUGAAAUGCCCUUCUAAAAUGUCCAUCAUUUUUGUCUUGGUUCAGAACCUCUGCCAAAAGUGUUGCACAAUUUUCUAGGUCAUUUUAGGGUCUUUGAAUUAAAUGAUAAGUAUUUGAAUUUGGGCAUUUAAAAUUAUAUAAAAUAUUUCAAAUGCUCAAAUAUUCCUAAACUGAAAUGUUUCAUGUUGGAAAUAUUCCAACUUUGGACCAGGAGCAGCUUGGUGAUUUUAGGAGUUGCCUAGGUAUUUUUUAUAAUUCAACAAAGUUGCAGAAAAAUAGAAAAAAAAGACAGAAAGGAAGGACUUACCUGGCGCCUGCAACCCGGCCCACCUGCCGGCCCAGCCCAGCGCCGCGCCAGCGAGCUGCUUGCCGUCCAGGCAGGCAGGCAGGUGCUCGACGGCGAGCACCGCAUGGGUGCCACGCACCUGCUCGCCGCCUCGCCGCUCCACUCGCCCGGCUAACGACGUGGAUCGCUCCCCCUCGCUCUCCCGAACCCCCCAGACACCUCCUCUCCUCUCCAGCUCCUCCCCAUCGCGCUCCCCAGCCAUGGCCGACGCCACCGCCGCCGCUCCAUCGUCGUAGCCGCGCUCCCCGCCGCCCGUGCUCCAUCUCGUGGUGUCCAGGAGCUCCGCCGCCGUCCACUUCGUCGAGCUAACCGAGCCCCGCGUGCUCGUGAGGCCCGAGUCCACCGCACCGACCUCGCCCGAGUUCGCCGUCGCCGGAGAUCCCCUUCAACGCCGUCACCGCAUCAGCUCGUCCCCGACCCCGCCGGUGGCCUCUACGGGUGCUCUGUGAGCCUAGCUACCCCUCCUACCCUUCCUCUCUCACCCCCGAGCCGUGUAGCCACCACACGAAGAUCACCCGCACGCACCACCGCGGAUCUCGUCGCCGACGUGCUUCCGGCCAUCCUCCGGCCAACUCACGGUGUCCAACGCACUCACCAUGUUGCGUUGAGUCCAACCGUACACUUCCCGCACCUCACCGCACACCCUAGCCCCGAGUUCGCCUUCACCCGAACUCCGGUGACCGCCUAGGUCGUCGCCGGCGCCAACUCCGGCCACCCCGACCUCAACUCGCUCCACCAAGAGCUGCGGUUCGUCCCCAGCUCCACGUAGAUGCCUUCCGCACCCCAUUUGGUGGCCGGAACGGCCAAAACCACUUCCGCCGCCACGUCGGGCUCGCCGGCGGCUAAACACCGGUGCAGCCGUUUUGACUUUGACCACGGGUGGGCCCUGGUUGACUCUGUUGAGUCAAUGACAGGUGGGGCCCCCUUCUGCUAAUCAUCCAGAUUAGUUUAAACUAAAUUAAAUUAGUUAAUUAUCCACUGACACCCUGGACCCACGCGUCAGGUUUGACCUGGACCGGGUCUGUUGACUUGCUGAGGUCAGCAUGACCUCAUGCUGACGCAGUAAACCUUUUCUGAAUUUAAAAUAAAUCUAAAAUGAUUUAUAAAUUCCAGAAAUUGUUGCAAACUUCAAAAAUUCAUAUAAAUUCAACCGUAGCUCCAAAUCAAACAAAUUAUAUAUGAAAAAUGAUCAGAAAAAUCCAAUCUAUCCAUCUGUACAAGUUUCAUGCAUGUUUCAACAAAGUAACUUGAGGUUUAGUGCAGAACAAGAUAAAACACUUUAAAGGGCCAUUUAUGAGUUUGAAAUUUGAAUCUUUGGUUCAAAUUGAUUCAAACCCAUCUGGUUUUAGUUGCAUUAGCCCAACACACUCAUAUUGCCAUGUUUCAUGCAUGCAUCAUAUUGUCGCACAUUGUUUGGUGAUGGUUGUGUAUCGGUGUUCUUUGAGGCAGGUUCUGCCUCCGAGGAGUACCAUGAUUACCCUAGCGAAGAACCGUAUCCGUGCAUCGAUCCAUCAGGCAAGCAACCAACCAUUUGAUCAUAUCGAUACAAUCCCAUGUUCUCGCUCUUGCUCUCUUUUACUGCAUUAAGACAACGCGUUUUAAACUGCUGUGUGCUACGGUAGUUGAACCCAUUUCCUCUGCAUGACCUGUCAUUGCCACAGUAAUUAGAUGAAACCCACUAGCAUGUGUAGGAAUUGAUUGAGCCAUAUGUUUGUGUUGUUCCUACCUUGCUAUGCCUGCUAUGCUUAGAGUCGUGUCAGGUCUGGUUCAUCUGGGUGAUGGGCUAGAGUGAAAUGAUCAUGUCGGUAAUGAGAGUGAUGUGGUGAACACGAUUUGGUAAAGGUAUCGAUGAGAGGCCAUGUAGGAGUACAUGGUGGGUUGUUUCAUUGAAGCCGACCUUAAGAACUGAGAUCUGUAUGCGUGAUUUAAGAUUCAGCUACUACCAUGCAUUGGGCCCUGAAAUAUGACCCCGCUCGACUUCUUAUUCACCCUAGUCCUCUGUCCAGGAGUUGCACGUAGUUUCUGGUGUUUGUAGCUUACUGGAGGCCGUGGACAGCGCUGACCCGCGGGGUGGGCUGUGAUGCGGUAGGUACGUGGCACGGUGUAUCAAAUACCCGUUAGGUAUCUUGGGAACCCUGUACACAUCGUUAGGGGCCGUAUGGGAAACCUCGGCCGGACUCCCUGCGGAUGGAACCUGGAUAGGCGAUAAACCUGGACUAGAGACUUAGGUGUUUAGGUAGGUCGUGGUCUACACCCACGCCGGCUUUCGCUUGAAGUCUGCCGAGCACAUGUCGUGUGCAGACGCUAAGUGGUGGAAACAUGUAUGAAGAAGUACACCCCUGCAGGGUUAACAUGAUCUAUUCGAAUAGCCGCGCCCGCGGUAAAGUACUACUUGGUUGCUUAUACAGUUCAUAGACAAGUGAAUGGAUACUACUAAAAAUCUCAAGAUAAGCGUGAGUGCCGAGGAUGGCCCUUCCGUAGGAUGACGGAGGUGGAUCCUCGGUGGUGUAUUGAAGUGGUGAGUAGUGGACUCGUGUGCGCAAAACCAUUUCAAGUUGGAGUCUUGUAGGAUAGUUUAGCCAAGAGUCAAAGCUGGCUUGCUGCAAUAACCCCACCAACCCUUCUUGAUAAUGUGCAUGUAUGUAGGAUCUGACGUAAGUCUUGUUGGGUACCUUUGUACUCAUGUUGCUAUAAUUUACAUUUUACAGAAGGCGCUGCAACCCCUUCUGAUGGGUUCUUCGUAGACGUUGACAUCGACGAGUAGACUAAGGCCCAGGUGGUAAUCCUGAGCUUGUGAAGGUCCACGUAGUAUAGCUAGGCUUUCCAAGCCUCUUUAAUUUUACUAGUUGUCUGUACUCAGACAAGUUACUUCCGCUGCUGGUUUGUAUGACUGUAUGACUUGAAUGUGGGUUGUGUGACCCGUACUUGUAUGUAUGUUAUGUAUGGCUCUCUGAGCCUUUAGAUAAAGUACUUGUGUCGUAGAGUCAUGUUGUGAUGCCUUGUUGUAUUUGCACAUAUCGAGCAUAUUGUGUGUAUGAUUGAAAUGCUUGGUAUGUGUGGGAUCUGACUAUCUAGUUGUUUAUCUUUAGUAGCCUCUCUUACCGGGAAAUGUCUCCUAGUGUUUCCAUUGAGCCAUGGUAGCUUGCUACUGCUCCGGAACACUUAGGCUGGCCGGCAUGUGUCCUUCUUCGUUCCUGUGUCUGUCCCUUCGGGGAAAUGUCACGCAUUGAGUACCGGAGCCCUGUUAGCCCGCUACAGCCCGGUUUACUGGAGUCCUGCUAGCCCAGUGCUACAGCCCGGACCCACUUGCUGAUGACCGACACGUUCGAUGCUGGGUCAUGGAUGCCUGUCCCUGUAAGUCUGUGCCACUUUGGGUUUACGACUAGUCAUGUCAGCCCGGGCUCCUUAUCAUAUGGAUGCUAGCGACAUCAUCAUAUACGUGAGCCAAAAGGCGCAAACGGUCCCGGGCAAAGGUAAGGCGACGCCCGUGGGAAUACCGUGCGUGAGGCCGCAAAGUGAUAUGAGGUGUUACAGGCUAGAUCGAUGUGACAUUGAGUCGGGGUCCUGACAUUUUUGAUAUAUUAUAUGCCUAUAGUUUAUUUUUUUGUGGUUAUUCGUAUUUUUGCUGUUAGUAAAAAAUGUUUAAAAAAACCUUUCUCUUCGGGCCGACUAAACUGGGCCGCACCCCGCCUAGCCGGCCCAGCGCACCGUCUCCCUCGCGUACCCGAGCGGGACUCCCGCCGGAGUCCGGCACCGACCUCGCCGCCUUUGCCCCUCGCCCACGCAUCGCCUGCCCCCUCCCCUCCUUAAAAGGCGGUCCCGGUCCCCACCUCUCUCCUUGCCGUGCCGCGCCGCCCCACCCGCAUCGCGCCACCGCCCCGCGCUGCAGAUCGCCACUCACCGCCGGCGAGAUCCGCCGCUCCGCCGCUGCAGCCGCCUCCUUGCUGCGCCGCCGCCUGCCAGUAAACCGGAGUAACCACCCCAUCGCUGGUUUUGUCUUCGUGAACCGGUAUAAACCGUAAACCCGUUCGAUUUCUUUUCUUUAGCUCGGUUUAUUUCUUUUGAUCGGUUUUUCUUUUAGUUAGAUCUAAAUAGUGAAUGUUCGCUAGAUUAGGUCCUCACAGUGAAAGGAUUCGUCUGUUAGCGUUCUGCAACGAACGUUCGGUAUUUAAGUCUUUCUUUUUCUAUUUUAAUUCCACCAGGGACCUAUCCAUGAAUUCUUUUCUUACAGAUUAGUCCCUCUGCUUCAAACGAUAACUACUUUUUACCCGUUUAUCCAAAUCCAACGAAACCAACGCCCACUUCUUCGUUAUGAUCCCCUCUAUCCAGUAAAACAACUUGAACAUAUUUUUGAAAGUUUUAAAAUUUGAAUUCAAACAGUUUUGUAUUUGAACUUUGUUUGAUCAUAACUUGAGUUUUAUAACUCCGUUUGAGUUGAUUCUUUUUGCAAAUCGAAGCUCUUGACCUACACUUUCUGAUAAGGCCAAAUUCACAUAAUUUUGGUACUGUUAGAAAUUAUUUUAUGUUGCAAGUGUUAUUUGCUUGGUUUAGAAGUUUUCCGAAUCGUCUUCUUCGAUCUUUCUGAUCUGUUGAGUGAUUGCUUAUGUGUGGUUCUAUUGCUUGCGUACGAUAGAUUGACCGGAGUGUGACGAGUAGAUCUAUCAAGAGUUAUGAGUGCGAAUCAUCUUCAUCAACAUUGCAGGCAAGUUCACACUUUGAUCAUAUCUCUUUCAUACCUAGUUUUUAUGCAUUAGUUUCACCCUCAAACAUUGCAUGGUUAGGACUUGAUAACAUGUGGGUAUUGGGAAGUAGUUGAUGAGGUAGGAACCUAUUGCCCUGUUACUAUCAAACCCCUGGGAGUUACUAUUACGUUAUGCUUAUGCUGCUAUGCUAUGCUCGUAGACGUGGUUUGGGUGAGUGAAAUCCAUGACAGAUGUGAGGUUGUUAAUAAUGGUUUACUUAAGGUGGCAACUUUAACACACAUCUGGGUGGAUUGAGGCACCUGGGUAUUCCAACGAUUGCUUGUUUUUCUUUAUGGACCGCCACCCAGGCUCAAAGGGAUCAUGAGAUUAUUCAUGCUAGAAACUUCCGUGUGCAGCCACAAGCUACUAUGGGCUCUAACAUAGUUGAUUAAGUCAUGCGAACUCUUACAGUGGUAGACUAGCAGAUGUAGGGGAAAGUAGGUGUAACGGUCUACCCAAUCGUAAGGUGCUAGCGCUUCUGAAAGACUAUGUCUCAGUCAUCCGUUUCUCAAACAUCAUGUAGUGCGAGAAUCCCAACGGAGGAGAUCGAGUCUUAUGGGGAAAAGUGUGCAAACCUCUGCAGAGUGUACAAACUAAUCAUGGUUAGCCGUGUCCUCGGUUAUGGACAAUCUUGAGUCUCUGGUACUUGGAUUAUCAUAUUGAUAUCAUCACGUUACUUAAAUAAUUUGUUGGAUUAUUGAUGUUAAUUUGGGAUUGAGUUGGAGGAACCUUCUCAAUAUUUUCAACCAACUUUGUAGUUAAAUAAAAUAUAUUCCUUGCAGUAGGGAAAAAUUGGCUUUUCGCAAAAACAUUAUAACCAUAGAGCUUUUCCACGAGCCAAAUAUGCAUGUAGUGAUAGUUAUUAUUCAUCAUUAUCCUAUGGUGUGAAUUUGCCAGUGCAUUGAAUGUACCGACCCUCUGUGGCUGCAACGUCUCAUGUUGCAGGAUUUUUUACGACGAGUAAGUGAUACGUUAGGGUUACAAUUUCUACACUCAACUUUGUCGUUGGUGUUGAUGGGAAUCCACAACCUUGUUAUUACUUCCGCUAUUGGAUUGAGGUAAUAGUAUUUACAUUAUUUUAUACAUGUGAUUUACCUCUGUUAUAAAUCCUCGAGUACCAUGUGUGUCAGCAUACCGAUCACGGGAUGACACUUAAGCACAGAGACUUGACCGUCUAAGGUCGGGUCGCUACAAAUUCAUCUAUCUGAUUUUUUCUCCCCGAAACCAAAUAUAUAGAGUUGGAGUUGAGGUCGGAGGAGCUCCAAGGGGCCCACGAGGUAGGGGGCGCGCCCUAGGGGGGCAGGCGUGCCCCACCCUCGUGGACAGGUGGUGGGCCCCCUGGUCUUCAUCUUUUGCAAGGAUUUAUUAUUAUUUCUGAAUAGAUGUUCCGUGAAGUUUCAGGUCAUUCCGAGAACUUUUGUUUCUGCACAUAAAUAACACCAUGGUAAUUCUGCUGAAAACUGCGUCAGUCCGGGUUAGUUCCAUUCAAAUCAUGCAAGUUAGAGUCCAAAACAAGGGCAAAAGUGUUUGGAAAAGUAGAUACGACAGAGACGUAUCACAUAUCACAUCACAGCAAGCCCUUUAAAAACAAGUUAGAUGUCCUGUACUUUGUUGUUGCAAGUUUUACGUGGCUGCUACGGGCUUCUAGCAAGAACCAUUCUUACCUACGCAUCAAAACCACAACAAUUUUUCGUCAAGUGUGUUGUUUUAACCUUAAACAAGGACCAGGCGUAGCCAAACUCGACUCAACUAAAGUUGGAGAAAUAGACACCCUCCAACCACCUGUGUGCGAAGCACGUCGGUAGAACCAGUCUCAUGAACGCGGUCAUGUAAUGUCGGUCCGGGCUGCUUCAUCCAACAAUACCGCCAAAUCAAAGUAAGACGUUGCUGGUAAGCAGUAUGACUAUUAUUGCCCACAACUCAUUGUGUUCUACUCAUGCAUAUAACAUGUAACGCCCUCGAUGCGGCUAUAGCUCCCACGUGUCGAGGCACGACUUAGAGGCAUAACCGCAUUGAAAGCAAUGUUGCAAGUCAGGCAGUCAUUACAACAUCCCAUGUAAUAUAUAAUAAAAGGGGAAGAUAACAUAGUUGGCUUACACUCGCCACGUCACAUCAGAGUACAUAAAUAACAUCCAUCAAACAAGCACUCAUGGCCCGACUACGGCGCCAAAAUAGAAAAGAACCCAACAUGCGACAAGGUCCUGAAUCGACAACCCCAACUAGGCACCACUACUGAUCAUCCGGAAAAGACACAUAGUAACGCUAAGAGUCCUCAUCGAACUCCCACUGAAGCUCGUAAUCGUCAACUGGAGCAGAAACACCUGGACCUGCACCUGGAGUUGUAAUAUCUGUGAGCCACAGGGACUCAGCAAUCUCACACCCACGCGAUCAAAACUAUUUAAGCUCAUGGGAAUGGAUAAGGCGAAUAUAGGUGGAGCUGCAGCAGGCGACUAGCAUAUAUGGUGGCUAACUUAUACGCAAAAGAGAGCGAGAAGAGAAGGCGAAGCACGAUCGAUAAAAGUAUGAUCAAGAAGUGAUCCUGGACUACCUACGUCAAGCAUAACUCCAACAACCGUGUUCACUUCCCGGGCCCCGCCGGAAAGAGACCAUCACGGUUACACACGCGGUUGACGUAUUUUAAACAAGGUCAACUUCGGGUUUUCUACAACCGGACGUUAACAAAUUCCCAUCUGCCCAUAACCGCGGGCACGGCUUUCGAAAGUUCAAUCCCUGCAGGGGAGUCCCAACUUAGCCCAUGACAAGCUCUCACGGUCAACGAAGGAAUAGACCUCCACCCGAGACAUUCCGAUCAGACUCGGUAUCCCGGUACAACAAGACAUUUCGAUAGGGUAAAACUAAACCAGCAACACCGCCCGAAUGUGCCGACAAAUCCCGAUAGGAGCUGCACAUAUCUCUUUCUCAGGGCACACUCAGAUUGUCCUAGGUACGGGUAGGCCAGCCCAGAGUUGCCCCUGGUAGCCAUCGGUAGCUGACAGGUGGACCAACACUCAGAGGAGCACUGGCCCGGGGGGGUAAAAUAAGAUGACCCUUGAGUCUGCAGAACCCAAGGGAAAGAAAAGGCUAGGUGGCAAAUGGUAAAACCAAUGUUGGGCAUUGCUGGAAGAGCUUUACUUAAGACGAACUGUCAAGGGGUUCCCAUAAUAGCCCAACCGUGUAAGGAACGCAAAAUCCGGGAACAUAACACCGAUAUGACGUAAACUAGGGCGGCAAGAGUGGAACAAAACACCAGGCAUAAGGCCGAGCCUUCCACCCUUUACCAAGUAUAUAGAUGCAUUAAUUAAGUAAGAUAUAUUGUGAUAUCCCAACAAGUAAAUAAAAGUUCCAACAAGGAACGGCUCCAAUCUUCACCUGCAACUAACAACGCUAUAAGAAGGGCUGAGCAAAGCGGUAACAUAGCCAAUCAACGGUUUGCUAGGACAAUGGUGGGUUAGGGGAUCAACAUGGCAAUUGGGAGGCUGACAAGCAAAAAGGUAGGCAUCGUAGCAGUGGCAAAGCAAAAGAGCGAGCAAACUAGCAUAGCAAAGAUAGUAGUGAUUUCGAGGGUAUGAUCAUCUUGCCUGCACAGUUGUCCGAGUUGACUGGAUCCUCACAAGCAAACUCAACGGGCUCCUCGGUAGCGAACUCGUCUCCCGGCUCUACCCAACAAGACAAACAAGCAACAAGUACCCAAUCAAUCACGGGCAAGACCAAGCAAUAUGAUGAAAUGACGAUAUGCUAUGCGGGAUGCGAUGCGGGAUGCAAAAUGCAAGAUAUGACAGGAAAUGCAUGAACCUGGCAUAAACUUGGAAAACCAAGUGUGCCACUGGAUAGAGGGGAUGAAAUCGCUUGAAAACGAUAUGAAGAUCAAAGGAAUCGGAGCUACGGUUUAGAAAUGGCAAGCGUUUUAAGAUAUGACACCGGUCUGUGAUUUGCAGCAAGUAGGCAUCUAAAUGCAACGAAAAGAACAUGCUACAGCCACCAAACAUGAAAACAAAAUACAUGGCAGUGAUGUACACAAGAUGGUUGACAAAACACUAGCACUGAGCCAUAGGCAAAUUCAUCCAUUAAGAGGUUCAAACAAGCAUGGCUAAAACGCAAAUGCAAAACAGAUUUCAGACUUAGUGAAAUUAACACUAGUCUGAAAUUUCAGAUCACGAUGCUCUCUUCGGAGCAGCAAAACAACAUGAUAGAAAACCUGAACAUGACAAGUAAGAACAUGGCAUGGAGCUAUUCAACAAGCUUAAUAAAACACCCAAAGUGACCUGGGGCCAAAAGGGUUCACAAAAUACCCUACCGAGCUCACGAACAUCGCUCGAACACAAUCAGUUUUCAGACUUAGUGAAAACUGAGACAUGCUGAAAUUUAACUCACGAAGGCAUGUAAACGAGCUCGAUGCACUCACUACGGUGCAAGUCAUGGCAAGGAAAUCAUAUAACCAGCAAGAAGGCACAAAGUGCUAGCUACACAUGGCAAGAACGAAGGCAUAGCAUGUAUGGAACACUAACGGUAGCAUCGGCUAAAUCGCAAACGAGUUGACGAUCUGCCCAGAUUAACAACGAAGCAAAAGUUGAGCUCGAAUGAGUCAACCUAGAGCACUCCACAAAUGCAAACAAAGACAAGGAUGGAUAGAGCAUGACAUAAAUAUCAAAACUCCCUUACUGAUCAUCCUCAAAAGAGGCACGGAUCACUAGGAAACAAGCUGGACAUAUAGCAUCAUGAACUAAAAUAUCCCAGACUUAGUGAAAAACACUAAGUCCCUGAAAUCUGCAAUCUCAGGUACCUCUCUUCGCAAGCUUGCACAAGACAACACACACAUCCUAAAAAUGCAUGGGUGGCACCUCUGGAAAGAAGACAAAAUGCUUCACAAUACAUCCCAAAGGGGCACAGGCAUAUCAUGCACGAAUUAAACAUGGCAAAAAUGACAAAAGUGCAUGAUGAACUAACGGAUCUGCAAUUUAACUCACGAAGCCUCCUUCUAACAGCAUUUUGGGUAUCAAGAUGACCUCAAAUGCAAAUGAUGCAAUGGAANNNNNNNNNNNNNNNNNNNNNNNNNNNNNNNNNNNNNNNNNNNNNNNNNNNNNNNNNNNNNNNNNNNNNNNNNNNNNNNNNNNNNNNNNNNNNNNNNNNNNNNNNNNNNNNNNNNNNNNNNNNNNNNNNNNNNNNNNNNNNNNNNNNNNNNNNNNNNNNNNNNNNNNNNNNNNNNNNNNNNNNNNNNNNNNNNNNNNNNNNNNNNNNNNNNNNNNNNNNNNNNNNNNNNNNNNNNNNNNNNNNNNNNNNNNNNNNNNNNNNNNNNNNNNNNNNNNNNNNNNNNNNNNNNNNNNNNNNNNNNNNNNNNNNNNNNNNNNNNNNNNNNNNNNNNNNNNNNNNNNNNNNNNNNNNNNNNNNNNNNNNNNNNNNNNNNNNNNNNNNNNNNNNNNNNNNNNNNNNNNNNNNNNNNNNNNNNNNNNNNNNNNNNNNNNNNNNNNNNNNNNNNNNNNNNNNNNNNNNNNNNNNNNNNNNNNNNNNNNNNNNNNNNNNNNNNNNNNNNNNNNNNNNNNNNNNNNNNNNNNNNNNNNNNNNNNNNNNNNNNNNNNNNNNNNNNNNNNNNNNNNNNNNNNNNNNNNNNNNNNNNNNNNNNNNNNNNNNNNNNNNNNNNNNNNNNNNNNNNNNNNNNNNNNNNNNNNNNNNNNNNNNNNNNNNNNNNNNNNNNNNNNNNNNNNNNNNNNNNNNNNNNNNNNNNNNNNNNNNNNNNNNNNNNNNNNNNNNNNNNNNNNNNNNNNNNNNNNNNNNNNNNNNNNNNNNNNNNNNNNNNNNNNNNNNNNNNNNNNNNNNNNNNNNNNNNNNNNNNNNNNNNNNNNNNNNNNNNNNNNNNNNNNNNNNNNNNNNNNNNNNNNNNNNNNNNNNNNNNNNNNNNNNNNNNNNNNNNNNNNNNNNNNNNNNNNNNNNNNNNNNNNNNNNNNAGUCUUGAAGCACUUUCGAAGCUGAGAGACAUGGAACACAUCAUGAACAUUUGCAAAGUUUGAAGGAAGCUCGAGUUGAUAGGCGAGGUCGCCUCUCUUGCUGACAAUCUUGAAAGGUCCCACGUAUCUAGGGGCAAGCUUCCCUUUGAUACCGAAGCGACGAGUACCUUUCAUGGGAGAGACGCGGAGGUAAACAUGAUCUCCGAUCUCGAAAACCAGAUCACGGUGCUUACUAUCAUAGUAGCACUUCUGGCGGGAUUGAGCUGCUUUGAGGUUAUCACGAAUGACUUUGCACAUUUCUUCUGCUUCUGUGAUUAAGUCAUUACCCAGCAGCUGACGUUCACCGGUUUCAGACCAGUUGAGAGGGGUACGGCACUUCCUGCCAUAUAGAAUUUCAAAGGGGGCCUUGCCCGAACUUGCUUGAAAGCUGUUGUUGUAAGAGAAUUCAGCAUAAGGAAGACAAUCUUCCCACUUCAUGCCGAAAGAAAUCACACAAGCCCUGAGCAUAUCUUCAAGAAUCUGAUUGACACGCUCGACUUGACCGCUCGUUUGAGGAUGGAAAGCUGUGCUGAAGCGGAUGUUGGUGCCCAUGGCCUUCUGAAAAGAAUCCCAAAACUUGGAGGUAAAGAUGCUGCCACGGUCUGAAGAUAUCACUUGAGGAAUACCGUGCAGAGAGACAAUGCGAGAGGUAUAGAGUUCCGCCAAUUGAGCUGCAGUGAUCGACUCUUUGAUAGGCAGAAAGUGAGCCACUUUGGUGAGCUUGUCGACGGCAACAAAUAUAGCAUCAUUGCCACGCUUGGACUUUGGAAACCCAGUCACGAAGUCCAUUUCAAUGUGGUCAAACUUCCAUUCUGGAAUGGCAAGAGGUUGGAGGAGACCUGCUGGCCUUUGGUGUUCUGCCUUCACUCUUCUGCAGACAUCACACUCGUUCACGAAUUGAGCGAUCUCGCGCUUCAUUCGAGUCCACCAAUAAGUUUGCUUGAGGUCCUGAUACAUCUUCGUACUACCAGGGUGGAUGGAGAGGAGAGAGUUGUGAGCCUCGUUCAUGAUCACCUUACGAAGUUCACCUUUGGGCACAACAAUUCGAUCCUCGAAGAAGAGAGUGUCCUUGUCAUCAAGUCGGUAGCACUUGUACUUGGACUAACUCUUUGCAACAUCAAUCUUCACCUUCUUCACCAUAGCAUCAAGAAGUUGGGCUUGGUGAAUCUUGUCUUCUAAGGUAGGAGAGACUUGAAGGUUGGCGAGGAAACCUUGAGGAACAACUUGCAGAUUAAGUUUGCGGAAAGCUUCACAAAGCUCGGGUUGAUAAGGCUUGAGAAUCAGACUGUUGCAAUAUGCUUUUCUGCUCAAAGCGUCAGCAAUCACAUUAGCCUUGCCUGGAGUAUACUCGAUACUCGGAUUGUACUCUUGAAUCAUUUCGACCCAUCGAGUCUGCCUGAGGUUGAGAUUAGGCUGAGUGAAGAUGUACUUGAGACUCUUGUGAUCAGUGAAAAUAUCCACUUUCCUUCCCAAUAGAAGAUGUCUUCAAGUCAACAAAGCAUGCACAACUGCCGCCAACUCGAGAUCAUGAGUGGGGUAGUUCUUCUCAUUAGGUUUCAACUGGCGAGAGGUAUAAGCAACAACUUUCUUCUCUUGCAUCAGUACAGCACCGAGACCUUGGAGAGAGGCAUCACAAAAGACCUCGUACGGUUUGGUUUCAUCAGGCGGAGUCAGAACUGGAGCAGUGAUCAAUUUCUCUUUCAAAGUGUUGAAAGCCAUAUCACACUCCGGAGACCAAACGUACUUGACGUGCUUCUGAAGAAGAUUUGAGAGAGGCUUGGCGAUCUUAGAAAAGUUUUCAACGAAUCUUCUGCAAUAGCUUGCGAGACCGAGGAAACUGCGAAGUUGCUUCACGUUCUGAGGAGGUUCCCAAUUCACAAUUGCAGACACCUUCUCAGGAUUCACGGAAAUACCCUUGGCAGAGAUGAUAUGACCAAGAUAAAGAACCUCAUCGAGCCAAAAUUCACACUUGGAGAACUUGGCGUAGAACUGAUGUUCUCUGAGCUUGUCAAGAACCAAACGCAAGUGCUUGGCAUGAUCUUCCUUGUUCUUCGAGAAAACCAGAAUGUCGUCGAGAUAGACCAAAACGAAUUCAUUGGUGUAGGGGUUGAAGAUGAAGUUCAUCAUGCGAGAGAAUGUCGGAGGAGCGUUGGCGAGGCCAAAAGACAUGACGGUGUAUUCAUAUGAACCAAAGCUUGUUCUGAACGCCGUCUUGGGAAUAUCUUGCUCACGAAUACGAAUCUGAUGAUAACCCAUACGGAGAUCAAGCUUGGAGAAUACUUGAGCACCCUUGAGUUGUUCGAACAGCUCAUUGAUGUUGGGAAGUGGGUAUUUGUUCUUUAUGGUCUUCUUGUUUACUGGACGGUAAUCAACACAAAGUCGACUCGAUCCAUCCUUCUUCUUCACAAAAAGAACACCACAACCCCACGGAGAAGUACUAGGCCGAAUGAGACCCAAUCUUUCUUGCUCAUCGAGUUGUUUCUUCAGCUCCUUCAACUCUUCAGGUCCGAGCUUGUAAGGACGUUUGCACACAGGUUCCGUGCCAGGCUCAAGUUCAAUAACGAAUUCAACUGGCCGGUGCGGAGGCAUUCCUGGGAGCUCUUCUGGAAAGACGUCUUGAUACUCACAAACAACCGGAAUCUGCGAAAUAGCAUCCAAUUCACCCUUCUCAUUGAGAGAAAACAACCGGAUGGUAUUAUCCCGAGCGGCAAAGACAAUAACAUCCUCAGACGAAUGAGUCAGUUGAAUCUGCCUGGCUGCACAAUCAAGCUGAGCUCUAUGCUUAGAGAGCCAGUCCAUCCCGAGAAUAAGAUCGAUAUCCGAGUUGCCAAGAACCGUAGGAGAAGCCAAGAACUUGUAGUCACCGAAAGUGAUAGAAACAUCCGGAACGAUGGAGUUAGCCUGCAUGCGCUUACCGGGAGAGACAACUUCUAAAGGACUAGAUAAAACUUGUGAGACCAAUUCAUGCCUAUUUGUAAACGGUCUCGAGAUGAAGCAAUGUGAUGCACCAGUGUCAAAAAGAACUUUUGCAGGAAUAUCAUUAACAGGAAGGUUACCCAUGAUCACAUCUGACGAGUCCUCUGCCUGAGCUGCAUUCAUCAAGUUGACCUUGGCGGACUUGGGGUUAUGCUUGACCACAGCUGUACUUGCCGAUCUGACAGGAGGAGGAGGAGGAAGACGCCU